RNAcentral lists this long non-coding RNA (66369 nucleotides) under Daucus carota (carrot). RNAcentral describes it as "long non-coding RNA (DCAR_LNC000934)". Lineage: Eukaryota; Viridiplantae; Streptophyta; Magnoliopsida; Apiales; Apiaceae. The record is from RNAcentral.
UAGCCUCCUCAGCAUCUUCAUGUCUGAGGUUCUUGGGUGUCACUAUUGUUUAUUGUGAUAUUGAGCUGAACAAUGAUCUUACGAUCUUAAAACAAUUGGUAUAUGCCGAAAAUUUGAACCUUCGGGAAUUGAAAAUAUAUGGGUGUAUCCCAGAGGUGGGUCUAAUAUUUCCGCUGCAUGUAUCCACAAUUUGUAUUACAACUUUAAAUUUAGGGGAAUCAUACCUGGAAGAAGACCCAAUGCCAAUAUUAGAAAUGCUUCCAGUGUUGAGUGUUCUCCGAAUGUAUAGGGAUACAUAUGUGGGGAAGGAGAUGGUGUGCUCCGCAACCGGUUUUCCUAAACUCACCGUUCUUAUUUUGCACGAGUUCACAAACCUUGAAAAAUGGAGGGUGGAGGAAGGAAGCAUGCCCAUCCUUUCAUACUUGAUUAUUGCAAGUUGUAACAAGUUGGAGGAGUUUCCCGGAGGCCUUGUGUUCCUCAAGUCCCUUCAAAUAAGUCAAAUGCCUCAAGAUUUCAAUGAUAGGCUUAAAAGGCAAGAUGGUGAAGAAGGACCCGACUUUCACAAAAUUUCUCAUGUCGGUAGACUCAUUAUUGAUGAUCAGGGCUACAUUUGAAUGUUCUUGUAAGUUAGGUAUAAAGUAUUGUUUUGGUCGUGAAGAACAUAUUGCUUGAGAACUUAUUUGAUCAUUUGCUUCUCAUUAAUAUUAUAUGAUCAAUUUAUUUUCCAUUAAAAUUAAUACUUUUACUGUUGAAAAUAAUUUUAAUUAAUAAGCAAAAAUUUAAAACAUAAAUUACAAAAUUAUACUUUAUAAAAAUAUUAAAGGGUUUGCCGAUUCACGUCCCCAACAUAUAUUAUUCAGGACGAUGGAGAGCGUAAUAAUUAAAUAAGUUCAAUAACCGGAUUUUGGACUAUAUAUUUUAGUAUCUUAAUGUUCGGUUAUUUUAUGAUGGUUAUUAAUAUGAGUAAAGAUUUGUAUAAAUUUAUAUUUAAAAAUUUAUGCAACAUGAAGUUAAAUAAAUUAUUUUAAUAAAUAAAUAUAGAUCAUCAUCAUCAUCAUGAUUAUUUUUUAUAUUUUUGGAACAAUUAUAAUAGUAGGAUUCUUAAACAAUUAUUUAAAAAUUAAACAUUUUAUGUUGAACUCUUAUCCUUUAAAAUAAAAAAAAAAUCACUACUUUUUUCAACGAAAAAAAUGUAUGUGUUGAAUUACAUUUGGUUGCAAACUCAAUCUUUUUUCUUAAGAAUUUUACAAAGAAAGUAAAUCACCUAAAAGGACUUUAAACAUAUGACAAAAAAGACUCUAAACAUGUGUUUAGAGUUUUAUUCAGAACAAACUAUUAGUUUCCAAUUACGAUCAUCAGUGAUCAGACUACUUAAAAGAACUACUCUUUUCAGACUAUUGCAAUUACGAUCAUCAUACUACUGAAAGAACUGCUACUUUAGAAAAAGGCUCAGCAUCCUCAGGUUCAUGUUCACACCAUAUUCUUUUGUGAACUAGGGGCACAAUUUUCAUCAUUUUCUUUGUCUUACAAGCCAUGCAAUCUAGUCAUUUGAAAUUGAUCACUUUAAAGACCAUCCUUGUGUCUCGUUCAUUUUUCUUGAGGUGAACAAGAGUUAAACAAAUUCGGAAGCGAUAAAUAUAACAGUCUUCUAACAGAAAAUCGAUUUAUGAUAAUUUUAGACUGCAGAAAAAGAGAGGAAAUAAUAUUUCACUGACCAAUAUGUAAUAUGUUUUCAUGCGAUUGCGGCCAACACAACAGAGCACAUUGUUUCCCACAUGUUGCAACAAAACACCAAAACUAGGAGACUUCUAACUCUUGACUCCACCCAUUGUUCAAACUUUUUCUUUGUGAUCUUCUCUUUUUUAUAAUAAAACACUUUUGGUUUUUUUUUUUUCUUUAUGGUUAAACUACAAUAUAUACAGCGUUUAGGACUGGGAAACUGCUUUCUUCAAGACGCUGAAGGCAACGAGCAUAAGCAGUGAUAUCAUAAUCUUCUUUGAAGCAAGAAUCCGCAAGUUCACCUUCAUGCCAUGGUCUCUCAUGAGCUUCACCGUUGCCCUAAUUACUGAAAUAAGCCAGAAUACAACGGACAAGAACACCAAUUUCAUUGUGUCUGCAGGUCCAUUCACAGUUCUUGUGCCUCCCGACACCUCGACAUAGGACCAAGCAGCGCCUUGAUUAUCGGUGGUUCCACUAUGAUUGAGGCCAAGUUUCUUGUUCAACCAACAUGAUAAAGUCACAAGCAGCUUUGCAAGCCAUGCAAUCUCAUCAUUGGAGACUGGUCGCUUCAACCAGUCACCCCUGUAUUUCAUACCGGUUUGCUUCUUGUUGCGUAUCACUCUAGGACUAAAUAUCUCAUCACGUGGAUGCUGAUUUUCUCUCGUCUCGGGGACUGCUUGUGUGUUCCUUGGAGUAGAGUUACCAAAUAAGCACCCCAUCUGGGCUUUGAUAGAAUCUAAACAAGCCAUAUUCUGAGCAUGAUUAUCUCCCAAGACAGUCUGCAGCUCCGACUCAGCACGCAACACAAAGAGCUGCAAUAACAAUGUGACUAGUGAGUGAGACUUGACAUUUAGAAUGACACCAUUUCAGUUCCUAGAAUUUAUAUGGUUCAUACAGAUAUAUUUAAGUACACUAUAUGCUAAAAGAAGAGAGGGGGAAAUAAACCUGUAGCAGCUGUUGUCUGCCAUCAUCACCAUCACUAAAUAACUGCAAAUCCUUGUUCCAAUUCUCGUGCAAGAAAGAGCCAUCAGCAUCAUUUUCACACAAUCCAUCCUCCCAGUCCUUGUAACGCAAAAAAGAACAAGGGAUUUACAUAUAAACAUCUGAAAAAGAGUUGAAGAAUGCGCUCGCGCACACAAAAGAGAUGCAGUUAGGUCUUCAUACCUGCAGUUGUUCUCUGAUUGAUGGAACAAAUCUGUACAAGUUGUUGUGUAUGGGUUUGGAUGACCCAGAAGGCUUAGAAUGGAAGACAGUGUCCACAUUGUUUAUAAGAUUCAUCAGCUCACUGGACGAUGUCAAUAUGCUUAAGACCUGCACAAGAAAUACAAGAAACAUAUACAAAAUAAGUAAACGGAAACUAUAACGAAUUGAUCCUGGGAUAAAAAUAUAUACUAAUUAUAAAAGAAAAUUUCCCCACUGUUACCCUGACUCUUCAUUUUGCCUCAAGUACCGGUGUCGGACACUCAACACUUGAACAUCGGACACUCAACACUUGAACAUAGGUACAGACACUACAGAACUUAUUUUAGGCCAAAAACAUGUAAAUUUUCAGAAUACUACCGAGACACACUCGGACAGGUAACCAUGUUGGACACUUUUAGCUGACUCCAGGUAAUAUAGAUUCUUCAUAUGUAAGCUUACCAGAAGUAUCCCAUCAGCGCCCAUAAAUGAAAAGAAGCCGAAAGAAACUAUAAAAGAGGAAUAUAGCAGAUUAUUAUUAAUUAGUAGCCUUGCAUAAGUUUCCUCUAUAAUUCAACACAAGUAGCUUUCUGUUGUCGUUCAUUCAGAUGUAUCCAUCGAGCAUUUGCCAGGACUGCUGAAGCAAUUUAGGCUUUUAUCUAUAGUCUAUGCAUGCAAAACUAUGGUUGACCGUCACUAACUACAGACCAAUUUAAUUUAUUUUUUAUUUAUCCUCUUAUGUUCUGCUUAUCCAGGUAAAAAAAAAAAAUUGAUUUGGUCAAAAAUAUACACAACACAACUAUAUAUGGAGAAACUUGUGAGCAAAUCCUAAAAAAUGCAUAACCAAGGAACUAUAGAACAAAUAGUUGAUCAACACAAAGCAUUGCCAGGAACUAGAAUAUCCACUUGAAGAAGACUGUACUUCCUUUUUAGUACCAUUGCUCGACACCUCAGCAUUUACAUCUAGACCAGAAAAAUCUUCAAAGCUAAUGUUCCAAGGUUCUAUAUAAUUAAUCCCAAGCCAAAACACCUGAGAUCUGGGAAGUACUGGACGCAAAUACGGGGAGUCCGGAAAAUGAGUAUUUGGCAUGGGAAUACCAAAAAUAUAAAAAAUAUUUAAAUUAUACUCCAUUUCACACUCUUAUUUCUUAGCACUCACACACAUUUUAAAGGUGCGUAUCCUUUAUUCUAUACAUCCACCACAAUAUGCAGUUAACCAAUAAGAAAAUAAAUGGAUCUGGAUAUGGAUUUGACUAAAUUCGAUACAAAUCCGACCCGCUGACAAGCCUGCUUGGAAACACAUCAAAUUAUUUAUAUUCUAAUCAUAAACUCAUAAAAGGAGAAAAACAAAAAAAAAAUAUGAUUUAAAAAGGUCAGAGUCAAAGCAGUGGACUGUAUACAGACAUAUGUGCAACACAUAUAUACAGAUCUGGACCAGAGAAGAGAUAACAAAACAAGCAGCAGAUUGAACUCAGAGAAGAGAUAACAGUCGGAAAGCGAAGUCACAAGGAGAGCUAACUGGGUAUGUAUCUUUGUAAUAUAAGCUCUGUUUUUUGUUUUAAUGAAUUAUUGCAGAAGAUUGAUGACUUAUUGUUGAACUUUGCAACCAAAGAACCAUGAAAAUGAUUCAAGACUGUCUCAGAGUCAUAUAGAAUAGUUUAAUUAAUAUACAGCAAAGGGGAAUAGUGAUCAGCAAUAUAGAAUCUAAUGUGCUCAUGACACCAAUACAUUUUUACUACUUUAUUACUCUCUCGAUCCCAUUUUUAACUACUUGUUUGGUUCCUGGAGAAGAAUAGGUUAAACAAAUUUAUAUGGCUGAAGCAAUUGUGUCGAUUGUUGUGGGAAGGCUCGCUGAUUUGUUGGUUGAAAAACCCCAAACCCUCUAUGAAGUGAGAGAUGAAAUUCAACUAGCGAUCACCGAGCUCACGCGGAUAAAGACAUUCUUACCAGAUGCUGACGCAAGGAUUGAUGUAGAAAGAAUCCGGAUUUUGCUCCGGGAUGUACGAGAGCUUGCCUAUGAUGUCGAAACUUUUGUUAUUAAAGCCUCAUCCACUAAAAAACCAUUUCAGCGGAUGAACAGAGUCAAGUUUUCAAGAAAGAUGAAAAAUAUACAGAAAAAGAUGUCCCUCCUCUUCAAUUUAUUUUCUGAUUAUAAUAUCAUACCAACUUCUGAAUCAACUUCCUCAAACAGAGAAUCGGGAAAACUUAAGCGAUUUCACUCUUUCACUACUCCUGAACCAGAGUUAUUUGUUGGAUUUCAUGAAGACGUUGAAUGCUUGGUGCGACAUUUGGUGGAUGAAACUCAUGAUUCUUACCCACUUAUAUCUAUUUGUGGAAUGGGGGGCCUGGGAAAGACUACUCUCGCUCAAAAGAUAUACAAUCACUCUGCCAUCAAGACUCACUUUGCUGGUUUAGCAUGGGUAUCAAUUUCGCGAAAGUGGCAGACAGAUCGUGUGUUGCAGAGAAUUCUCAUAUGUCUCGUACCUGAGAACAAAGAAUCUAUCCUUAAUAUGGACAGCGACAAGCUAGUGGAGUAUAUGCUACAUAUUAAGGAACGGAAAAAAUGCUUGAUAGUCCUCGAUGACAUAUGGUCAACUGAUGUUUGGGAUGCAUUAAAAGCUGCAUUCCCAGCCGGGAAGUCCAUAAGCAAAUUAAUGCUUACAAGCCGUAAUGUUGAGGUUGCUAAGCAUGUAAAUUUGAACGGAUUCAUUCACAAGCCAGAAUGUCUAAAUCCAGAACAAAGUUGGGAGCUACUCAAGUUGAAAGCACUUCACACAGGAAAUUGUCUAGGUACAUAAUUUUACUUGCGUUAAUUAUGGUUCAUAUACUUUUUCCGCACCAUAUCUUUGGUACGACGGCCUUAAUGAGCCAUAUUUUCUGUUACUUGAGUUGGAUAAGUUUGGUUAGAGAUCUGCCCAGACAACCUUAAAUAACAUUGUUCUGUUCAAGUAACAUUUUUUUCGUGUUUGUUUGAAUUCGUUAGUCGUUUACAAACGUAUGUAUUAGAAUUGUAAAUGAAUGUAACAGUUCAUUAAGUGCCCUCUUGAGGUUGAGUUAACGAACUCGAAUUCAAACCACAUAUUUUGUUUGAGAACCUUAACAAACUUUAUGGGGUUCAGUAAUUUUUGCUGGUGCUGACUCGAAGUUUAUCCGAGUUAAGUUCAUUUAGGGCUACAACUUGAACGUGUCUUUUAAAUAUUUGCACAAGUCAAAUGACUAAAUUAGAAAUUAUCUUGGCUUGCGUUUGUGUGUCUAUAUAUACACACAUAUGAUUCCCGUUUCUUGUGUGUUGCAGACAUUUACNUUUGGGAUGCAUUAAAAGCUGCAUUCCCAGCCGGGAAGUCCAUAAGCAAAUUAAUGCUUACAAGCCGUAAUGUUGAGGUUGCUAAGCAUGUAAAUUUGAACGGAUUCAUUCACAAGCCAGAAUGUCUAAAUCCAGAACAAAGUUGGGAGCUACUCAAGUUGAAAGCACUUCACACAGGAAAUUGUCUAGGUACAUAAUUUUACUUGCGUUAAUUAUGGUUCAUAUACUUUUUCCGCACCAUAUCUUUGGUACGACGGCCUUAAUGAGCCAUAUUUUCUGUUACUUGAGUUGGAUAAGUUUGGUUAGAGAUCUGCCCAGACAACCUUAAAUAACAUUGUUCUGUUCAAGUAACAUUUUUUUCGUGUUUGUUUGAAUUCGUUAGUCGUUUACAAACGUAUGUAUUAGAAUUGUAAAUGAAUGUAACAGUUCAUUAAGUGCCCUCUUGAGGUUGAGUUAACGAACUCGAAUUCAAACCACAUAUUUUGUUUGAGAACCUUAACAAACUUUAUGGGGUUCAGUAAUUUUUGCUGGUGCUGACUCGAAGUUUAUCCGAGUUAAGUUCAUUUAGGGCUACAACUUGAACGUGUCUUUUAAAUAUUUGCACAAGUCAAAUGACUAAAUUAGAAAUUAUCUUGGCUUGCGUUUGUGUGUCUAUAUAUACACACAUAUGAUUCCCGUUUCUUGUGUGUUGCAGACAUUUACAAAGUGGACAUGAGUUUCAUCUCAAAUCUACUUCAGAUUCAAGGCCAGCUUACACUCGACUCGUGAUUCAUUUGGAUGAGGAAUAUUCUAGCAAAAAAGCUAAUUACUACUUCUCUAAGAAAGGCAAUGAAAAAUGCUAUCGAUCAGUGUUAUUCUUUGGUGUCUUCGGUCCGAGAAGUUUGCCACGGGCAUUGGGGUCACAUGUUGCCAAUUUUAGGUUCCUAAAAGUGUUUUCUGUAGAAAAAUACACAAAUUUUUCUGGUACGUUUUCUCAUAUUAACUUUGGAAGAGCAUUAGGGUCCCUUGUUUACCUGCGAUAUCUUAGUGUAAGGGGCAGUAAUUUGUUGGUUUUUCCAUCUAUGCAAAAGUUGGUGUUGUUACAAACUCUUAACUUAGAUACAUUCGAGGGUAUGUAUGUUUUACCAUGGCUGUCAAGAGAUGUUCUGGUGAAACUGGAUUGUUUGCGGCAUCUGUAUUUGCCGAUAUUUAAAGUUAACGUUUUGGGAAGGAAAUCAAAAUUUCGGUUUAAUGGGUUGAGCAAGUUAGAGACCCUGGAGAACUUUGACAGUAGUUGGUGUGAGAUUAAGGAUCUACGUGAACUAAUCAAUCUUCGAAAACUAACGGUAACAGUGAGAGGUAGCUGUAAUAUUCUGGAAGAAAUGAUGAAAAACUUGGUUGAAAUAGCCUCCUCACCAUCUUUUCGUUUGAGGUACUUGGGUGUUUGUAUUCUUAAUUGUCAUCUUCGGCUGAAAAACGGUCUUACUAUCUUGAAACAAUUGGUGUGUGCUGAAAAAUUGAACCUUCGACAUUUGAGAAUACAUGGGCGUAUCCCAGAGGUGGGUCUAAUAUUUCCAGUGCGAUAUGUUGGGGAUAAUUAUGCACAUGUAUCUACAAUUCAUAUUACAAGUUUAAAUUUAUCGAGAUCAUACUUGGAAGAGGACCCGAUGCCAAUACUUGAAAUGCUUCCAAUGUUGGGUGAUCUCUUUAUGUUUACAGAUACAUUUGUGGGGAGGAAGAUGAUGUGCUCCGCAACCGGUUUUCCUAAACUCACCAAUCUUUGUUUGUACGAGUUCCCCAAUCUUGAAAAAUGGAGGGUGGAGAAAGGAAGUAUGCCUAUCCUUUCAUACUUGCUUAUUGAAAGUUGUAACAAGUUGAAGGAGCUUCCAAAAGGCCUGGUGUUCCUCAACUCCCUUCAAGUAUUAAGAAUAUACCAAAUGCCUCAAGAUUUCAAUGAUAGGCUUACAAGGAAUGAUGGUGACGAGGGACCUGACUUUCACAAAAUAUCUCAUGUCCGUAGAGUCCGUAUAGAUAAUGAUCAGGAAUACAACUGAACGUUCUUGUAAGUUCCUAAGUUGUAACGUUUUUGUUUUGGUCUUGAAGAACAGAUUGUUUGAGAAACAAAUCAGAGAUAUUAUUAUAAUAUAUAGUAAUAAUUUUUUGAUGAGAAAAAAGGAGGUGAGAUCAACCUUAUUUAAACUGAUUGCUUCCUAAGGUUAAAUGACACACAUGCAUAUGUUCGUUAGGUAUCGUGUAAUCUCUCUAUUUUUAUUAAAAAAUACCUCUAUUUACCUGAUAAUAUCUUCACUCCAUCUACAUACAUCAAAAGUAAUUCAUUUUUUUUGUCUUAUGUUGAUUCUGGGCCUUGGAAUGGAAUAGCAAACACACGCAGAUGAGUAUAAUUCAAAGUAAUCUUCUUGUGAAUGUAGUUUAUAAUUCACUUUAAUUUUUUUAGGAAAUGAGUAAUAAUAUUGAAGAUUGUCAAAUUCUGGAAGAUUCGCCAUCUGAGGAUUCAUUGUCUACCAAUUUACAGGAUACCUACACUGCUGAAUUGGAUAUAGAGGAUGGUACACGAGCAUUUUUCAUGUCUCAUGAAGAUAUGUUAUUUCAAUCACAAGAAGAAGCAUAUAAUUUUUAUAACAGCUUUGGUUUGACUAAAGGAUGUGCAAUAGGUAAAUUUUAUAUAUACAAGUCUUAUGGUGAGAAGAACUCUUGUAUCUGAUAGAGAAGGUUUCAAAAACAAAAUAAGAGGAUGAUAGUGAGGACAACAUAAAACGACGUCGAGAAACUAGAUGUGGUUGCAAAGGUUCAAUGGAAAUUAUCCUAAAGAAAUUAGGGACAUGGAAAAUGAAAAAAAAAUUAAUAAUAUCCAUUCACAUGACUUGCUCAAGAGUCCGAAUAAGAAAAGAAAAUUAAGGUCUCAGAACAAGUUUCAUUAAGAUGCAACUUAUAAGAAAUUGAUUGAUAAAUUUAGUAGUUGCGGAGUUGGGCCAACAAAAAUAUCAGGCAUUAUAAAUACUGCUAGUGGUAGUGUUACAGAUGUCAUGACACCCCAACAAUAUUCUGAAGAGUUAAGAAUUAAGAGAAGAUAUUCAGAAUCAAGAGAAAAAAUAACAUCGGCAAGGAGUGUAUAAUUAAUGUAGUGCGGAUUAUUUUUAGAGAGGAAAGCAAGAUAUUCUGAAUUUUAGUAUGCCAUUCAACUUGACGAACAUGGCUGUAGAAGUAUUUUCUGGUGUUAUGCCAGAGCGAGAAAAAUUUUAUAAGAAAAUUUCUGAUGUGAUAGUAUUAAUCGGGACUAAUACAAUUUAUUGUAGGAAUGGAGUCUUCUCAAAGAAGUGAAAGUACGAAUUCGUUUUUUGAUGGUUAUGUCAAUAGCAAUACUCCUUUGUCUAUAUAUAUUGACCCGUAUGAAAAAGAAAUUACUGGCCAUCGUGAUAGAAAAGAGAUAGCAGAAUUGGAUAUCAAUGACAACUAACCCUGAUUUGACAAAUAUGCAUAGCUUGGAAGCUCAUGCUGGAAAAGUUUAUUCUCGAAAUAUAUUCAAAUUAUUUUAGAACGAAUUUAUGCAGAUUUUGCAUUGCCAGCAUAACAAAAAAGUAGCUGCAGGUGUCUAGAUGGUGUAAGAUGUAACUUUCAACGAUCAUAAUAGGCCACACAUCUGUUAAGGUUUGCAAGUGUUCGUGCUAAAUUUGAGACAUGGGGUAUUGUAUGCAAACACAUAUUGUAUAUAAUGAAAUAAAAAUUAAGAUUAAAGAUCAUACCUGUUGAAUAUAUUUUGUCAAGAUGGACCUUAAAAGGCAUACAAUUAGUUCAACGGUCAGUGUGAACAAUGAUGGUGCACCUGGUUUGAAUAUAGAUUGUAACACGCGUAGGUAACAUCUCUUGAAUCUUUGACAUUGUGAGGUGAUUUUAACAAACUUCAUGGAAAGAUAAUUACUCGUAGAGAUCUCUAUGAAGUAAUGGAAAGGGAAAUAAAGAUGUGGUGGAAAGACAUUGACAUGAUUGAAAGUAAAUAAGUGCCACCACCGCCAGUGUCCGUAAAUGUAGAUGAUUUUUCAGAGGCAAAUAUAUAUAGCGGAUAAAAGUCCUUAAGAGAUCAUGUUAAAGUUCAUCAUCAGCGAUCCUACCAGAUGCAAGACGAAACGUAGACCGCGUAAUUCAUCCAAAAUCCCUACCGGAAUGUAGCAAUUUCAAGAUUUGAAGUAGAAAAGAGUUUGUGGAAAUUGUGGUCGGAAUGGGCACUACAAGAGUACAUGUAAAAGUAGUAAAUAAUGAAUUUUUUUAAAAAUACUAUGUUGCCUUGUUUUUAAACUCAGCAGUUCUUCUCAACUUUUAUUUGGUUUCAGAUUUUUAUUAAAAUUAAGUUCAAAAAAAAUUCCAACUAAUUUAGUCUAUAUUAAUUUUAUGAAAUUCCUGUCAAUUUUUACCAGUAUGUUAGCCAAUAUAUUCCUGGUUAUAAGUGGCAGCGGUGCUUAUAGUCCAGGCACAUUUAUUGUUGCACGAUUCCUGAAUGCUAAUAUGGAGUUAGCCAGAAAUUUUCUUGUUUUAUGCAAAUCCAGAAAUUUGCUCUCUACUUUUAUUCAGUUUAUGAAAUGGACAGUUUAUAAGCUCCGAAAGGUAUAUCUAGUGAUUUUGUCCGCAAGUUCUCGACCACUUGCAGACCGUCAAUAUCAAUACCAGGCCACAUUUAUUAUUUUCACACUAACUUUUAAGUUGUGGAGGGUCGAGAAAUCAAAAUGCAUGUAAUCAGGAUAAGCCAACAAGGAUGCUGUCAACUGUUUUGUUGCAGGACCAGACUCACAACUAUUUGUCGGUGUUAACUGGCCACACUGGACCAGUCAAGUGUAUUCCAUUUCAAGGGUCUUCUGCUCACCAGUGUAGUGUUUAUGAUAUGAAAGUAGACCUGCAAGCAUAAAAGCAAGCAAAUGCCAGCCUUCCUAGCAAAUAAUAACUUACAUGUUUGCAAUGAGUGUUUCCUAACUUUGUGACUGCAUAGUGACUAAGAAAAAAUCAAAGAAAUCAGUUGAUUACAGGUUCUGUUUCACUGGAGUCCAUAAUUAAGCAUAGCUGGGUAAUCUGAGGCAUUAAUCACCAUCCCCUGAAAUGCAUUUUCUUACUGCUCUGUUGGUAAUUUUUAUUUUAGUAGCAUUGAAUACUCGGAUUCCUGAUGAUUAUGUUUGCUAAUCCUACUACUAUUGUAUAAUGUUAAUGGACCUAGAGCAUCUGCAAUGAGAUUUUUAAACAAGUUCUUAACUCUAAAUUUAUAGAGUAAGUUAAGAAUUAUUGCUCCAAUGAGCUCCAAGAAGCUCUUUAAAAAUUUAAGAGCCUACUAUCUCCUCACUUUUAAAGAGCAUCCAGUAGCUCUUAUCUUUUUAUUUGUGAAUAUAAUAUUAAUUUCCCUCCAAUCUUCUCUCUCUUUUAAUUAAGUUUUCUCUCUCAUUUAUACAAAAUAAAUAUAAAAUAUGAAUAAAGAGCUACGUAUAAACAGUAGCAUUAAAGUAAUCAUGUUUUUCAAUGUAUUAAGUCACUAGGGGCCAUAAUUUAUAUUAUUGUUUAAGAAAUGAUUUAGUAGCACCAUUGGAGAUGUUCUUACUCCUUGUGAACAUAGAAUAAAUUAUUUUUUUUGUGCCAAUUCAGUUACGUAAAGAUUUGUCAGAAACAUUUUGUUACUCCACACUAUAAAUUGUCGUGGACGAAUUUUGACCCAUGACAAGUUUUCUCUUCAUAACAUUAUCACUUGGAAAGGUCCUUCAGCAAAUGACAGGAUGUCACCAAUUGCCAAAUUCAUUGCAAUUGCGAACUAUUAAAUUUUUGUUAAUUCAUGUUGGAGUGCAUGAACUGCUAUAGCUUUAAUAUACAUGAUUUCCCGACCUGAACUGCUAUGAGUGUUUCCUAGAUUUGAUGGUGAUCAAUAUGUUCAUGGACGGGGCAUCGCCAUCUCAGAGGAGAAGCGGAAGAGGAUGCGACAAGAAGAUUUAUGUGUGUAUUGUAUACUCCCUCCGUCUCAUUCAUUUGUAUACAGUUUCUUUUUUUUGACGUCCCACCAAUUGUAUAUAUUCCAAAAAUAGUAAACUUUUAUAAUAUAAAACACCAUUACACCAACUAUUUUCCUCCACUAUCUCCAUUCUAUAACAAUAUAAACACUAUUACACACAUUACUUUCCUCCACUAUCUCAAAUCUAUUAUUAAAUAUAAAUGGGUCCCACCACUAUACCUACUUUUCAUCUAACUUUACUAUUUUUUACAUUUUUUCUUGGUCUUCGUAUCCCAACCAAAUGUAUACAAAUGGUUGGGACGGAGGGAACUAGAGCACACGUGAUAGUCAUCAAUCCAGUCAUUUUAAUUUGUUCCCAAAGCUUGGGUGGUGUGGAUGUUAAUAUCGUCUGAGAACCAUUCAUGUUUGAGCAAAGAGUUGCGUGUUAAUAUCGUCUGAGAACCAUUCGUGUUUGAGCAAAGAGUCAUUUGAGUAAAUAUGAAAGAUCUCCCCUGUAGAUGUAGAAACCAUUGAAGUUAUAUAAAACUCAAGCAAAUCACAAAUGCACACACAGGUGAGACAAGCUCGUUUUAUUAAUCCGAUAAAUUGCUGCUUACAAAAUGAAAGAAACACACUCUGAUAAACUCAAGUUCAGAGUGUUGGAAAAAAAGUCCUACUUAAACAACUAGCUAAGAUGGUAAGGAUAAACAAGAACUGCUGCCUAUGGUUAAUCCACUCCUACAUGCACUCAUGAAAAACAGCUACUGCUAUGGCCUAAUCUUGUGUGCACACUGAUCACAUAGCAACUUAUUUAAAUUAACUAAAUUAAAUAAAAGCAACUGAAGUAUAUCAGAAUUUAGAUCAAACUCCAACAAGCUCCCCUAAUCUAAACUCGAUUGCAGGUUCUUCACACCCAAUAGCUCACACAUUCCCUCAAACUUAGCCCUUGACAAUGCCUUGGUCAAUACAUCAGCUCUCUGUUCAUUUGUGUUGACAUGUACUUUGAGUAUAAUUUCACCACAUUCUACACAUUCCCAUAUAAAGUGGUAGCGAAUAUCUAUGUGUUUACUCCUUCAUGAAACACUGGAUUCUUUGCCAAAUCUAUUGCCCACUUGUUAUCAAUAUACAGCACCACAGGACCAGCCUUUAUAUUCGUCAUCCGUCUGAGAAGUUUAUAAAGCCAUAUGCCUUGACACGCAGCUGCGUUGUUUUUGACAUUGCCAUACCUCUAGUAGACCUCUUGUCAUCCACAUUUCCAACUAGGUCGCUGUUUGAAUAUCCUGAGAGCAAGUAGUUUCCAUCCCGUUUAGAAUAAACCAACCCAUAAUCAAGAGUUCCAUUCACAUAACGUAAAAUUCGUUUUGCUGCAGCUAGGUGCAUGACUAUGGGUCUCUCCAUGAACCUGCUUACAAUGCCAACUGAAUAAGCUAUAUCAGGUCUUGUAAAUACAAGAUACCUGAGUCCUCCAACCAUACUUUUAAGGCUUAAUGACCUUUUAGCCCUCGAAGUAUGAAUGGAAGUUCCGAUGCGGUCUUGAAGUUUAAAAACGUACCUUUCGACCCUCAAAGUAUUUUUGUCGUACCUUUUAGCCCUUUUUAAAAAUACCGGCAUAAAUCAGGGGAUAACUUGAAAAAUAGGCAAGAGCAUAACCCAUCAGCACACCAAGAAUUCCUACUAAUUCUCAUUUUAAGCCGACCCUUGAACAUAUAUAAACCAUGUAGGCAAGUAUUCCUUAAUUAAAGAAUGAAUAAAACUUUCUCCAUCUGUUAUCUAAACUAUUGAAGCCACCAGCGAAGUUGCAACCUUGACAUGUGCCAUUGCUGCAGCAAAAGAAACCUGAUUAUAUCGCAUUCCGUAUUUUACUUUUUUCAGCUUCUCUAGUUAUUCUGUAGGCAAUCCCUUAGUUGCAAUUUCGCUAACAGUAUCCAGCAGCUGGGUAACUAUUUCUUUUGAGAUAAAUAUAACAUUCCCGACAGAUCGGUGGACACGUAGGUAAAGUAUUCCAUUCAUUAUUGUUUUUCCAUGUCAGACAUACCAAUCAUUGCCAUCUGUCAGCAAGGUGGAUGUUGUUGAGGUUAAAUUUUUCAACUUAACGUUUGCUGUUAGAUUUUUCUAAAAAAGUUAAUAGAAUGAUAUAUAAUAUAACAGUAUUUUAGUGGGUUAUAUGAGUCGCCGUGGAGAUCGGGUAGCUACUUGAUAUAUUUUGCUGAGUUCGAUGGGCAAUCUGAUAUAAAACCCAAAACCAAACCAAAUUAAUACUAAAUUUGAUAUUUGAUAUAAUAUAUGAUUUUGGUUCAUAAACCCGUCCAAAUCCAUAUUAAUCAACUAAAAUUGGUCCAAAACAUGAGAGGUCUACUUACUCUCUUGACACAAUUGGUAUAUGAUGAAAAUUUGAACCUUCGGGAAUUGAAAAUAUAUGGGCAUAUCACAGAGGUGGAUCUAAUAUUUCCGCUGCAAUAUGUUGGGGAUAGUAAUGCUCAUGUAUCUAAAGUUCGUAUUACAAGAUUACAUUUAUCGAUUUCAUACCUGGAAGAAGACCCAAUGCCAAUACAAUACUGGAAAUGCUUCCAAUGUUGGGUGUUCUCUGUUUGUUUACCGAUACAUAUAUGGGGAAGGAGAUGGUGUGCUCUGCAACCGGUUUUCCUAAACUCACCCACCUUUUUCUGGACAGCUUACCGAAUCUUGAAAAAUGGAGGGUGGAGAAAGGAAGCAUGCCCAUCCUUUCAUACUUGCGUAUUCAAAGAUGUAACAAGUUGGAGGAGCUUCCAGAAGGCCUGGUGUUCCUCAAGUCUAGGGGUGUGCACGGGUCGGUUCGGCUCGGUUUCUACCUAAAACCGUUACCGAACCGUGUAUUUCGGUUCGGUUCGGUUUUUGGGUAGAAACCGUAACCGAACUGUUUCAAACGGUUUUUUUCGGUUCGGUUAACCGUGGUCGGUUGCGGUUUUUUUCCGGUUUUUAUAUGAUUAGAAACUACUAUACAAAUUUAAUACUUUUAUUAAUUUUAGAAAAAUAUUUAUAUACUUAUUAUAUCAAUUUUUCUUACUAGAAUAUAUAAUUAAUAUAUUGUAGCACAUAUAUAUAUAUAUAUAUAUAGGGAUAUGAUCAAAUAAAAACUUUUUUAAGUUACAAACUUACAAACUUUUUUUUAUUCUCCCAUCGUGUUAAUCCUUAGUUAUAUAAAGUAUCUAUGUUGAAAAUUCUUCAAAAAAAAUCACAAUUUUUAAAAAUAACGCAUAAAUAAAUCGCGUUUUCAACACAUUUAUAACUGGGGUUCAACAUCGGGUGUUGAACACUAAUUAUCAUUGUGUUGAAUAUAUCUAAAAAGAUGUUUAAACUAUACCUCUGGGGUUUGGGUAGGGUCUAGAAACAUAAAUAUUAGUUAUAUAACAUGUUUACCUUAGUUCUUACAUUUAAAAAUUGGUUUACGUACUUCUCCACCACUAUUUUAAUCGAUGUUCAACAAAAUAUGUUAAAAAAAUGUUGAACUCAAGUUAUAUAUGUGUUGAACAAAAAAAGUUUGUAAGUUUGUAAGUUUGUACCAGAACCCUCCCCUAUAUAUAUAUAUAUAUAUAUAUAUAUAUAGAGGAAAGUUAUUUGGAGUACCAUAAUUUAUUGGAGUCUUGGAGUCCACAUCCAGGCCAUCCAUUCUUUUUUGAUCCAAAGGCUGCUAUUAAGACUCAUUUCUUUUAUAAAAAUAUAUAAUUUAAUAUAGCAUUUAUACAUACAGGCGUGCUAUUUCAGAUAACUGCAACUACUUAAAUCAAGCAGUUACAACAAAUUGAGAGUUUUCAGGAGUACAACACGCAAACAUGUCCUGCAACAUCUGUAUCUUACACUUCGCCCACUGAUUAGUAACUUCGUUAAUAUCUUUCUUUGUUUUCACAUUUCUUUGUUUAAACUUUUCUACGAAAUGCUUAUAAUAUCACUCUGUAUGAUGUUUUAACUUGUACAGUAUCAUACAAAGGAUGAUCUUACUAUUCUGUGUAAUUAAGGAGCAUACGAUUUACGAAGGGACACAUGUAUACUCAGCUAUAAUAUUGUAGUAGAGCUUUCCAUUCCUUUUACACUACACCAAUUUUAACUUCAUAAGGAUUUGGAACUAAUUAAUGUUGGGUUGCUUAUAACAUACCAAAAAUCUAAAGCAGGAUUUUACAAAACUUCAUCAAAAAGAAAAUUGCAAACAUAUUUUCACUAAUUAGCUUCAAUGCAAUAACCUCAUUCACAUUGUCACCAACCCAAAAGUUCCGAAAUAAAAACAACCAUUCAAACCGGUCCCAACAUAUAACGUAUCAAAUGUUCUAAAAAACCCAAUUAAGUAGUAGUGAUAACAAGACUGUUUACAUAAAUCUGCUACAUUUCACACAACUUCUUCCUGCUCAACCGCACCAUCUUAUUCAGCACAAAGUACUUUUUUUUGUUCUCCGACCAUGUGAGCAUACGACUUGCAUAUAAAAAUAAACUUUUUCUGGAUGUAUCCCUCAUACGUCCUAAUCUUCUUCACCUUGUCUACCUUGGUUGGUGUCCCUCGAACUACCACAUGACCCCUGCUAGCACUACUUUGAACACCGCGUCUGCGUGUCUGGUACCACAAUAAAUAAAUUAGAAUAUUAUCAGGACUGCUGCACAAAUGCCAUAUACAAAAUUAAUAUUCUUACAUUUAGCACAUUAAUAUUACCUUUGUAAUUUUUUUCACUACAGAACCUACCCUCGAUCGGUCAGGUGUUCUAUCGGGUACAAUUUCUCCCUUAUCACUGGUGCCCUGCAGAUUACAAUUAACAACACAACUACAGUAUAAAUAAACUACAUAAGGCGUCAACAAAAGUACAUUACAAACAACAUAACUAACAACUCGCAAACAACAUUUCGCAUAUGCACAACUAUGGCAACAAGAAGAAAGUUUCUAUGGAAACAAAUAUAUAUUACAAUAGUGUGACAAAUAUAGGUGUAAAGUUUUAUUGAAUUGUGAGGUCCAUGGGGAUUGUUCUUUUAGUGUGAGCUGUGUUUUUUUUAUUUAGGUGAUGUGAAUAUGCAGUACUAUGGCAACUUGCUCUUGUAAAGAGAAGUCGCAAGCUGUAACAUUUUCACCAUACUGGGUUUUUUUUAAUUAUUAAUUAUGUUUUUCUUACAUUUUUGCUGCUUGCAGAAUAUCUUCUUUUUGCUGAUGUAAUAUGUCAAAAAAAUAAUUGCCAACAGGUAAGCAUAAUGUUUGUGACUCUGGACAAAGUUGCUCCGGCAGAUCCCAAAUAUGCUAAUAUAUUCAUUCUAGAGAAGUACACUGCAUUUCAGAAUAGUACUGUUAUCUGCUUCAGUUUUAUGUUUAUAUUCUUUUGUUUCAUAGUUUUCUGGGCAGUUGCCUUUAUAAUUUACAGUAUAGUAUAAUUCAAAUAAAUUCACUUUAAUAUGCUGACAAGAUCUAAUUGAAUGUAGUCUAUAUGAUCUAGCUAAUGUGGUGCCAACUUUAGCGAAAUUUUAUCACCAAGCAAGUGAAUCUUAUGAACAAGACAUAUCAGUGUGAUCAUAUAAUAUUUAAGAAAUCUUGUUCUGCAUCGUUCUUCCUUAAAAGAAUCUACCUAAGUUGCAUGUGAUAUAAAUGGUUGUAUUCUGCACUUCUUUUGAUUGAGGACUUAAUGUACACGAUUACACCAGAAGAGGUUAGUCUCUGGACUUCCUUUUGAGCACAAAAAUUAUUGGCGUGAUAUCCAUAUACGUGGUACUUCUCAUUUUACUUGUAAUGUCAUUGUAUAUAUAUCAACAUACCCGUUGUAAAUUCAUCUCAUUAGUGCGACGCACGCUCUAUAGGACUGAAAACACUAGUAAGGCUAUAAAAAUAAAUACAAUUACAGUUUAUGCUUCACUCCUAAUAUAACACAUUUGAAACAUGUAUCUUUGAACACCUACAUGCAACUUCCUAGGGGAAACACGACAAAGGCUCUAAAACUGCAUAGUUUAAUGUUUUCAUUCUGUAGGCAAUCCCCAUGAAUACACACAUAAAUACACAUAUAUAUUGCAGUACAGAAUUACAAAAUUUCAAACCUCAAUAAUGCAGAACAAAAAAACUAUUAGUUCUCUCCAUUAUUGACAUUACCUCUGAAAUUUUAGAUGCCGUGGAGCCUACUCUCGGCUUGUCAUUCUUAGAAACUGCAGCAACAUCCCGUCCAUCACUUUUGGCCUGCAAGUUGUAUACGUCGCCACAUACAAAUAACAACAAAAUCAAUGUCCUCCAUUGUUGACCAUAAUACAUUCAUAGGUCACAUUCGGGGAAAGUGAUAACUAUCGUGUGCUGCAACAUAACUUACCCCGCUUCGUACAUGUUUCGUACUAGAACCCGUGCGAACCCCAUAUCCAGCAGAGAAUAUUUGCAGAACAAACACAAUGGUUCCAUUGAUUAUUUAACAUACAAAAAAACCCAUUCCCCCCCUACGAAACCAAAAAAAACCUAUUGCAUUACAAGCACUUCCCAAAUAGCAUAGGACAUUUUAAAAGACUCAAAAAAGUUUAAUAUCAUAGCAGUGUCAAGUGCAGAACAAAGAAAGACUUUCACUCAGCAGCUUCGCAACAUAAGGGACAUAUGCAGGACACGUAUUCAGCAAUUAGAAAGCCUCAUCUUCAAAGUCCCAAAUUCAGUCAAUGUCUUUGCAACAUCAAAUGCAAAACAAACAGAUGGUUCCAUUGAUUAUGUAGCACAAAAAAUAAACCCAUUUGGCCCCUACUAAACAAAAAUAAAACUUUUGCAGUACAAGCACUCCCCAAUUAGCAUAGGACAUUUUUAAAGACCCAAAAAAGUUUAAUAUAAUAUCAAUUUCAAGUGCAGAACAAACAAAGAGUUUCAUUAUUUACACAGCAAAAAAAUAAUUUUCAAAGAGGCACAACGAGAACUGAAGAUAAUAUGCAGGAGUACCCAUCGACCAAAGCCACCGUAAAAAUCAAAUACCGUCAACCCACUCACCAAUUAUGCGACAUACAAUUCAAUUAAAGCACAUAGAAAUAAAUUGUUGGUCGUGCCUAAGAUCAUCGUUGCAUACAACUGCAGCCUCGCCUCAAAAGAUUUAUUGAGAUUGAAGAGUCCCGCACCGCUGGAGAGUGUGGGGAAUACCUGAACUCAUAAUGCAACAGCCUAGAAUCGUCCUGCAGACAACUACUGAGCCGGUGAAUUAAGUCUGUAGAGUCCCGCACCUAGGGUUGAUCACAGCGAAAUUCAAACCCUGUUGAUAAUGGACGUAGUUUGGAGCGGAAAAUGCGGGAUAUGGCUAUAAUUUGGAGUUUAAAAUUGAUUAAAACUGAUCCUGCAGCAUUUUAAUUCAUUAAAUCUCAACCAUAGGAUCUUCUUAAAAUUUAACGGUAGAUCUUAGGGACUCCAAUUUCUCAAUUAAUAUAGUACCCCAUAGAUCUCAACUCUAUAUAUAUAUAUAUAUAUAUAUAUAUAAUAUGUUAUAUAUAAUAAUAUAUAAUAAAUGUUAUAAUUUUAUUAUAUAUUAUAUAAACGGUUCGGUUUUUCGGUUCGGUUUUAGGGGUAAAACCGUAACCGUUACCAAACCGUUAUAUCAGUUCGGUUACGGUUUUUGUCGGUUACAGUUUUUUUCGGUUUGGUUUUUCGGCUCGAUUUCGGUUUUUCGGUUUUUUUCGCUCACCCCCUGCUCAAGUCCCUUCAAGUAUUAAGAAUACACCAAAUGCCUCAAGAUUUCAAUUAUAGGAUUAAAAGGGAUGAUGGUGAAGAGGGACUCGACUUUCACAAAAUUUCUCAUGUCCAUAGACUCAUUAUCGACGAUCAGGAAUACAAUCGAAUGUUCCCUCUUUUUUUUCUGCUAAAUCAGAUGUUUGUAAGUAAUAAUUAGAGGUAAGAUUAUUAUGUGUGACUUACCUGCAAUCUGUUAUAUUAUUAUUGUGUUUUUACAACUUUUUGAUGCCUGUACUUUCUUUUUCUGUUGUUUCCGUGCAGCAUUUCAAGCUCUUGCUUGCUUCGACAGAUCCUGAACAUCAAAACUGCAUUUAAUUGGAAAACUGGUAGAAUUGGGUCAUCUAAACUCCUGUUUCCUAUUACUAGCAGUCUAGCACAGGGGUGUGGAAGCAAAAAAGAGGGUUUGGGUCUGUAUGCAUGUGUCAUGUUAAAUGAGAAAACCCAGGAGGGAGGACUGAGCUUUUUUCCUCCGGAUUUACAAACUGAAACUGAUAGAUCACAGAUUCACAAUACCGGGUAGGAUCCACCCUUUAUUUUGAAUUGCAUGGUAUCGAUUCUCAAAAUGUUAUGACAUCCCUGAUAUCUCCAUUUGCGGAUGGAAGAUGAUCUCUCACUUAUUGAACUGUGUAUUAAGCAGUACAAAGUUCCUCCUGAGCGCAGAAUUUUGUUGUUAACCAGAAUUAGAUAUGCCCAUUCCUUGCGGUCAUCUAGAAUAUGCAAGUUGUUAACCUGAUAUCUCCAUUUGCGGAUGGAAGAUGAUCUCUCACUUCUUGCCUUUGGUAUGCAAGAACUAGUGUCACUCUUGCUAAUGAGCCUGAAUACACAAAUGAAUUAAUCAGGAUUGUGAAAUCCGAAGAUACAAUCUCUACGAAUAUUAGAACACUGGCAAUGCAUGCCUUGGCAUCUCAGUUAGCUGUAUAUUCAUCAUCUCAUGAAAGGGCAGCUAUUUUGAGCAGAUCAAGCAUUAGUUUUACUGGGGGUAAUCGCAUGACUCUCCUAGCCAUUCCACAGGGAGCUAUUUUAUCACUGAAUAGCUCUAAUGACCCAUCAUCAAUUGCUUUUUGUUGAAGCUCUACUACAUUUUUUUCUGAUUCAUCUCACAUCUAUGUCAAGUUCACAUAGCGUUACUCGUGGGGCAGCACUACACAAUUCCUUGUUGAAAUAGGGGACUCUAAGCUUAAGUGUGCCCUCAGAAAAAGUCGUUAGGAGUACUUCAAUGGAGAAUGCACCUGGUAUGCUUGAAAGCUAAAGUUUAUAAUCUAUUAUGUCUUAUUCUUUAUUACAAUUAAUAAAUCAUCUAUUCUCUAUGCUGAAUUUCUUAUUUCAGUUAAUAUUUAAUAUGCAAGUAGGAUGAAUUAUUGUUGAUGGAAGGUGAUGCAAAAAUGAUGUAUGCCGGGUCCUUUUAUAAUUGUUUAGUAAUUUACCGUAGAAGUCCACGAGCUAAUGAGUUGUUAAACUUUGUUUUUACAUGCUCAUCGUUUAGUAUACAAUGAUUGUCAUUUAUUUGGGAAUUGAAUAGUGAAUUAAUAUUUAUAUUCCCAAAUGGGUUAAUAGUUCUAUUACUCUGCUGGCUGCCUGGCUCCAGUUCAAGUAUCAGUUUUUCUAAUGUAAACUCGACCCGGCUAGCUUGAGUAAACUAGACUUGACUUACAAAUCAAUAUUUGUUCUGAUAAUUCUCGACGUGAGCGAGGGCCGAACAAUAUGUUCGAAGAAACAGAGAAUAAACACAUCACUUGGAUUAUCUAAUGACGCUUAACUCGACUCAGACUUAUUUAUUGUGCUAGCAAUGCAAACUCGGACUCUAACGAAUACUAACUCGGGUUACAGCAAGGGCCCUGGAUGAAAGCAUCAGGGUUGCUCUCGCCUAAUUAAUAUGCUUUGGCAAAGGGGAAUAUAAUUAUAGAGAAUCUGAUGUGCAGAAGAAACAAGUAUAAGCUGCUUGAUUUCUUCUAUUACUGAUUAUUUAAUACGCAAGUAGAGUUAAUAGUUGUUGAUGAAGGUGAUGUUAAAAUUGAUGUUUUGCUUAUAUAUGCUGAGUCAUUUCAUCAUUAUUUAGUAAUUAGUUGUGAAAUUAUGAGCUGAUCUGUUGUUCAGCUUUGUUUUACAUGAUCUCAGUUUAGUAAUAUAAUGAUUGUAUUUGUUUACUAAUUUGCCAGCUUCAUGCAGUUCAACUCCUUUAUAUAGAGUUGUUUGGUUUGUGGCGAAGAAUAACAAAUUAAUAUGGCUGAAGCAAUUGUGUCGAUUGUUGUGGGAAGGCUCACUGAUUUGUUAACUGAAAAACCUCAAAUCCUUCAUGAAGUGAGAGAUGAAAUUGAAGCCGCUGUAGCUGGGUUCAUGCAGAUGAAAUUUUUUUUACCAGAUGCUGAUUCAAGGAUCGAUGUAGAAAGAAUCGGCAUCUUGCUCCGGGAUGUACGAGAGCUUGCCUAUGAUGCUGAACAUGCUGUCAAAAGUUUUGUUAUUAAAGCCUCAUCCACUAAAAAACCAUUUCAGUGGAUGAACAGAGGCAAGUUUUCAAGGAAGAUGAAAUAUAUACAAAAAAAGAUGUCCAUCUUCUUCGAUUUAUUUUCUGAUUAUAAUAUCAGACCAACUUCUGAAUCAUCAACUUCCUCCAACAGAGAAUCGGGAAAACUAAAGCGAUUUCACUCUUUCACUACUCCUGAACCAGAGAUAUUUGUUGGAUUUCAUGAAGACGUCGAACAUUUGGUGCAACAUUUGGUGAAUGAAGCUGAUGAUUCUUACCCACUUAUAUCUAUUUGUGGAAUGGGGGGUCUGGGAAAGACCACUCUAGCUCAAAAGAUAUACAAUCACUCCGCCAUCAAGACUCACUUUGCCGGUUUAGCAUGGGUAUCAAUCUCGCGAAAGUGGCAAACAGAUCGGGUGUUGCAGAGAAUUCUUAUAUGUCUCGUCCCUGAGAACAAAAACUCUAUCCUUAAUAUGGAGACUGACAAGCUAGUGGAGUAUUUGCUACAAAUCUAGGAAAGGAAAAAAUGCUUGAUAGUCCUCGAUGACAUAUGGUCAACACAUGAUUGGAAUGCAUUAAAAGCUGCAUUUCCAGCCGGGAAGUCCAUAAGCAAAUUAAUGCUUACAAGCCGUAAUGCUGAAGUUGCUGAGCAUGUAAAUUUGAACGGAUUCAUUCACCAGCCAGAAUGUCUAAGUCCAGAACAAAGUUGGGAGCUACUCAAGUUGAAAGCACUUCACACUGGGAAUUGUCUAGGUACAUAAUUUUACUUAUGGUUCAUAUACUUCUUUUUAUAAUGUGUUUUGUCCGACAACCUUAUAAACAAUAGAACCAUAUUUUUUGUUAAUUGAGUUCGAUAAGUGUGGUUAUAGAUCUGUCUGACAACCUUAAGGAACACUGUUUGAAUUCGUUAGUUUGUUUACAAACCUAUGUAAUAGAAUUGUAAACGAAUCUAAUUAGGUGCCCUCUUGAGGUUAAUUUAACGAACUCAAGUUUGAACCACAUAUUUUGUUUAAGAACCUUAACGAAAUUUAUGGGGUUCAGUAAUUUUUGGUCGUGUUGGCUCAAAGUUUAUCCGAGUUAAGUUCGUUUAGGGCUCUAACUUGAAAGUGUCUUUUAAACAUUUGCAUUAGUUGAACGACUAAAUUGAAUAUUAUCUUGGCUUGUGUGUGUGUGUGUCUAUAUAUAUACACACAUAUGAUUCCCGUUUCUUGUGUGUUGCAGACAUUACCAGAGAUGUAAAAAGGAUGGAAGAACUGGGAAGGGAAAUGGUUGAACAUUGUGCCGGUCUUCUACUAGCUAUAGUCGUUUUGGGUGGAGUUCUUGUAACAAAACCGUCGUUGAUAGAGUGGGAGAAAGUUUAUCGUGAUAGUAAAUCAUCCCUGAAGGCAGGGAAAGGACUGGGAGAAGCCUAUCAAAGAGAAAUAUUAAGUUUUUUAGUUUGGAGCUACAAUGAUUUACCCCCUCAACUGAAGCCAUGCUUUUUAUAUUUAUCAAAGUUUGGUGAAGAUAAAUGGAUAAAACUGGAGACUUUGUAUCAACUAUGGAUCGCUGAGGGAAUGAUACUCUCGAGUGACAAAAGAGAAGGAGAAACAAUGAUACAAGUGGCUGAAUCAUACAUGGGAGAACUAGUCCACAGGAGUAUGGUUCAAGUGAGAUUUAACAAUGUGGAAUCAUCACUUACAAAGUUUAAAGAUUGUUCUCUGCACGACCUCAUGAGAGACAUGUCGUUAAUACAAGCAAAAGCAGAAGAUUUUUUUGAAGAAAUACAUUUCCAAAGCGGAAAUCAGUUUCAUCUCAAAUCUACUGCAGAUUCAAGGUCAGCUUGCACUCGACUUGUGAUUCGUUUGGAUGAGGAAUAUUCUAGCAAAAAAGCUAAUGACUACUUUUCUAAGAAAGGCAAUGAAAAAUGCUAUCGAUCAGUGUUACUCUUUGGUGACUCUGCUCCCACAAGUUUGCCACGGGCAUUGGGGUCACAUGUAUCCAAUUUUAGGUUCCUAAAAGUGUUUUCUGUGGAGAAUUACAGAAAUUUUUCUGGUGCAUUUUCUCAUAUUAAUUUUGGAAGAGGAUUAGGGGACCUUGUUUACUUGCGAUAUCUUAGUGUAAGAGAGACUAAUUUGUUGGUUUUUCCAUCUCUAAAAAAGUUGGUGCUGCUGCAAACUCUUAAAUUGGAUAUUAACAACGUGAACUAUGUUUUACCAUGGCUGUCAAGAGAUGUUCUGGUGAAGCUGGAUUGUUUGAGGCAUUUGUAUCUGCCUAAAUAUAAAGUUUACGUUUUGGGAUGGAAAUCGAAAUUUCGGUUCAAUGGGUUGAGCAAGUUAGAGACUCUAGAGAACUUUAACACUACUUGGUGUGAGGCUAAGGAUCUACAUGAACUAAUCAAUCUUCGUAAGCUAACGCUAACGGUGAGAGAUAGCUUUGAUAUUCUGGAAAUAGUGAUGAAAAACUUGGGUGAUAUAGCCUCCUCACCAUCUUCAUGUCUGAGGUACUUGGGUGUCAGUAUUAUUAAUUGUGGAAUCAUGCUGAACAAUGGUCUUACUAUCUUAAAACAAUUGGUACAUGCUGACAAUCGGAACCUUCGGGACUUGAAAAUAUAUGAGCGUAUCGCAGAGUUGGGUCUAAUAUUUCUGCGUCAAUAUGUAUCUACAAUUGGUAUUACAAGUUUAACUUUAGCGAGUUCAUGCCUAGAAGAAGAUCCAAUGCCAAUACUGGAAAUGCUUCCAAUGUUGGGUGCUCUCCACAUGUUUGGGAGGAAUCCAUAUGUGGGGAAGGAGAUGGUGUGCUCCGCAACCGGUUUUCCUAAGCUCACCAUUCUUUAUUUCUACGGCUUCCCGAACCUUGAAAAAUGGAGGGUGGAGAAAGGAAGCAUGCCCAUGCUUUCAUAUUUGUGUAUUGGAAAAUGUAAGAAAUUGGAGGAGCUUCCACAAGGUAUGAUGUUCCUCAAUUCCCUUGUAGGAAUAUUCCUACAACAAAUGCCUCAAGAUUUCAAUUAUAGGAUCACAAGAGAGGAUGGUGGAGAAGGACCCGACUUUCACAAAAUUUCUCACGUCCCUAGAGUUAGUAUCAACAAUCAAAAUUAUGAUUCUAUGUUUUCCGUAUUCAUGUAAGGUUUUUUCGAUAUUAUGAAAAUCAGUUUUUUGUUUUCCAUACUUUAAGUUGUUAAGUUAUAAUUUACUUUCUAUUAAAACUAGCUUAUAACCUGUGCAACGCACUAGCGGUUAUAAUAUUUGUUAUUUUAUCAUAUAUAGUUUUAAUUUAAUUAAUUUUAUCGUAAAAAUAAAAUUAUGAUAGAAUAAUGUGGUUAAAUAAAUUAUUAUUUAACAGCUGAAUAAAUUCUUAAUACUUAAGUCCGUCAAAUGACUAAUUAAAAAUUAGGUCAAACAUAUAUUUUGAUGAGAAUGUUAAAUAUAUUUAUUUACAUGUUAUAAUUUAAGGAGAUCUAUAAACCCAUAUAUAAAUCAACCAAUCAACCUCAUAAUAUUUCGUUAGUAAUAAUUAAUAAUAUAGUAUAAAACAUAUUAUAAGUCAAAGAGACGCGUAAUCCCAAAUAUCGAUCCAUUACCUAAUUUUUAAUGUUUUGAUUCGAUAGAUAAUAAAAAAAUAUUAUAACAUAUUAUAAAUUAAUGAGGUCCGUGGGUUGAAUACCAACGGUCUCACCAAACUCGAUUGAUCGACCGACCAACUAACCAAUUGAACUUUUCAUUUUUCGGUUUUCGGCUUUAACAGUAUAAUAAUAUAUAGUAUAGUAUAAAUUUAUAAUAUCAUUUUUAAUGUGAGACCGUUAGAAUAUUUAAAAAUAAUGUUAAUUAAUUUCGGUUGAAAAAUAUCACCUGUUAUUUAUUAAUAAAUAUAUAUAAUAAUAUUAUGUUUUUAUACAUAUGUCGCCUGUGUUAAUUGUAGAAAAAUGAUUUUUUAGUUAGAAAAAAAUAUUUAUCCUGAACUCUAAAUCUUUAAAAUUAAAAAAAAACAUUUUUUUCAACGGAGAAGUUGUGUUUGUUGAAUUACAUUUAGUUUCAAAUUGCAAAAAUACUUUCUUAAAAAUUUUAAAAAGAUUGUAUAUUAUCGAAAAAGAACUCUAAACAUGUGUUAUAUCCUUAAAUUCUAUACUCUCUGACGCAGAAAAAUAAAUUAUAUUCGAAACAGAUUAUUAAUUUAAACUUAUAGUAGAGAGGUGUUUCGGUGAAGACCCCCGCUUAGUGCACAAUAAAAUAAAUAGAUAUAAUAAGAAUAUAAUAUCUUAGCCAUGUCCUUCUUCACACAGGACUUACCUAAAUAGUUCCUAAUGCAUCUGUGAACUGAGGACUUACCUAAACAGUUCCUAUUAUCACGAAUGCAUCCAUGAACUGAGCUAAUAAUCCUUCAAAACAUAAUGCAACGAACCUCGUAAUCUCUGUAAGCCACGAGACCUAGUCUCAACUAUUCUAAUAAGUCGUCCCCAAUCAUUCUUAUCUAAUGUCAUAUCACCCGUCCCCAAUCAUUCUUAUCUAAUGUCAUAUCACCCGUGAGAUUUAAAGCUCUCAUGUCCAAACUUAAUUGAUUAGCCCAUGUCCGACGAGGCUGACUUCUCUUUCUCUAGUCAUUCAUUAUUCUUGAGGUGAACAACAGUUAAAAAAAUUCAGAGCCGAGGUAUUCUUACACAGCAAAAUAUCGAUUUAUGAUAAUGUUGGACAGCAGAAAAUGAAAAGGAAGUAAUAUUUCACUAACCAUAUGUGAUAUCCAAUCCCAACAUUGAAAAUUGCUCACUCGAGAGAGACUAUAUUAGUAUCUCAUUCAUUAUUCUCGAAAUGGACAAGUGUUGAAGGAAUCCCGGAGCCACAAAUAUAACAACCUAACGACAGAAUAUUAAUUUAUGAUAGUACUGGACAGCAGAAAAUCAGAGAAAGUAAUUUUUCACUAGCCAAUAUGUGAUAUAUUUUCAUGCUGCCAACACAACAGAGUACAUUGUUGCCCUCAGGUUGCAACAAAACACAAAACUAGGACACUUUUAACUCUCGACUCCGCCCUUUGUUCAAACUUUUUCUUUGUGAUCUUUCUUUUCUUUAUAGUUAAACUACAAUAUAUACAGCGUUUAGGACUGGGAAACUGCUCUCUUCAAGACGCUGAAGGCAACGAGCAUAAGCAGUGAUAUCAUAAUCUUCUUUGAAGCAAGAAUCCGCAAGUUCACCUUCAUGCCAUGGUCUCUCAUGAGCUUCACUGUUGCCCUAAUUACUGAAAUAAGCCAGAAUACAACGGACAAGAACACCACUUUCAUUGUGUCUGCAGGUCCAUUCACACUUCUUGUGCCUCCCGACACCUCGACAUAGGACCAAGCAGCGCCUUGAUUAUCGGUAGUUCCACUCUGAUUGAGGCCAAGUUUCUCGUUCAACCAACAUGAUAAAGUCACAAGCAGCUUUGCAAGCCAUGCAAUCUCAUCAUUGGAGACUGGUCGCUUCAACCAGUCACCCCUGUAUUUCGUACCGGUUUGCUUCUUGUUGCGUAUCAUUCUAGGACUAAAUAUCUCAUCACGUGGAUGCUGAUUUUCUCUUGUCUCGGGGACUGCUUGUGUGUUCCUUGGAGUAGAGUUACCAAAUAAGCACCCCAUCUGGGCUUUGAUAGAAUCUAAACAAGCCAUAUUGUGAGCAUGAUUAUCUCCCAUGACAGUCUGCAGCUCCGACUCAGCACGCAACACAAAGAGCUGCAAUAACAAUAUGACUAGUGAGUGAGACUUGAGAUUUAGAAUGACACAAUUCCAUUCCUAGAAUUUAUAUAGUUCAUACAUAUAUAUUUAAGUACACUAUAUGCUAAAAGUGUUGGAAUAACCUUAAAUUUAAUUAUUUUUAAUAGAGUUAAUUGCAGAGUGUGUACCUCUAGUUUGAGGCUUGUGCACUUGGUGUACCUCAGUUUUGGUGUCUAGCAAUGUGUGUACCUCAGCUUUGAAGAUGCUUGCACAGUGUGUACUUUCGUGAGUUUGCAGCUUAACGGCGUUAGAUUGGAGGGACAGCGGGAUAAUUUGACAAAGAAAAAGGGAGGGGCAACGGCUAUAUGUUUGUAUGUGUUAUAUGCACUCUACUAUAUGGUCUGUAGUCGGGCUAGCUUAUGGACCUUGUGUUGAACAAAAGAAUGGAGUGCGUCGCGAGAAUGUUGAUGAUUAUGCUACUUCAGGACAAGAAUUGUUAAAGAGAAAACCGGCUCAAAUAACUGAUGAAGGCAAUAUUGUUAAAGAGCCAUGAAGAACCAAAGCACUCUCACCGGCUUGAUGUACUGUAUAGUUUGUGGCCUGAUACAUGUUGCAAAGGUUCUUAGCACUUUCACUUCUUGAUGCAUUAUAUUUCUUGUAUUCACCCAUGGAUAAAUGCAUAAUCAAGACACUGAAAAAUUAUGUGCCAUCACAGAAUAUUAGAUCAUAAUAGUAAUGAUAAGCAUGGUUUAUCCCUUAAGCAAAAUUAAGACAGUAAGCCGUUUUGUCAACUCGAAAAAAAGAUCUAGAAUAUAAAAUAGUAUUUUCUUUCCAGUACCUCUGUACUUGCAAUGCUGUAUAUUUGUAAAUAAUAUGGUAUUUAACUGUAUUACAGAAGUGGUAUAAGAAUAAACAGACAUAAAGCAUUCUCUCUUGUUCACUACUUGUCCAUAGAUAUUUAAAACAUUUUAAUCCCCUUGUAUAGUAAACAGAAUUGUAGCAAGUUCUAACUGAUCCAUUCUUGCUGUCAUACUCCCUUUAUCAGAAUAUUCUUCCCCAUUUGCGCCACGAGUAAGAGUAUUACAUAGAUUCAGCUGAUCAGACAAUGCUGCUGUAAAUUCAGAUGAAUCCUCAAUGUUUUCUAGUUCAUUAUCCUUUCCUGAAGGUUAAUUCACUUGUAACAACUCUUCUUCUGAAGAAGCAGAACCUUUCUUAUCGUCGGGUCUAAAGCCAUUCCAUUGUUCAACACAAGGACCGUAAGCCCAACUGCAAACAAGAUAGUAGAAGAGGUUUACUGAACUCGUGAUUGCAAGAAGCCAGUAGUAACUCUCAAAAUGUCCCUUGUUGAUAUUACUUGAAGUCCAGCUCUCUUUUCCUCCUUUACUUGAAACAUUGUUUCCGGUACUCAAUAUAGCACUAGCUAACAAGUUUGCAAAUGCCAUCCCUAGCCCGAACAUGGCUGAUGCAAUGCUGGACAUGCUGUUAGGGAAUUCUGAAUAGUAAAAUUCUGUUUGAGCUAUUGAGUUGAAAGCCUCGCCUAAUCCACUUAAAACAUGUUGUGGUACUAACCAAUAUGCAGACAUGUUAACCACACCGCUUGGAUUUUCUCUAAAACCUUGUUCGAUUGCUUUGGUUCGUCUUAUAUGUUCCACAAUGGCUGAGACAACCAUAGCCAAGAAUACUAUUAUCAUGUAAAAUAAUUGAAUAUAAGAGCAGUAUCAGUCGAAGUUGCUUAUGUAGAUACUUUAAUGACCAAAGUCGAUCACUAAAAAAAAUCUUUUGAUACCUUAUCAGUGGGCACAAGUCGUUCUGAAUCUUUGAGAGUAUGUGUAAUAGUAGAAUCUGGAGAAGGAAGUGUCAUUCUUCUGUUCUUGUAAACAACUGCAAUCACUUGCAUGAAGCUACUAAACAAGUUUGUUUUGACUUUUGGUUUGAUAUAUAAAGAAGUUGCAAUCAAGAAAAGAGCAGUUGAAAGGAACAUGAGAAGGGCUGGAACUCCAAAACCCACUUUCCAGUACCCCAGAUGAUCUUGAAUGUAGACAAUGCAAGUGAAAGCAAGCACGACUGCAACAGCUGCGGAAGCGUAUUACCAUCCGAAGAACCGUUCUAGCAUCCUUUUAUUCAUGGGAUUGUCCUUGUCAUCUAUUUGGUCAGCCCCAAAUGCUAGUGAACAAGGCCUAACACCACCUGCUCCAAUUGACAUAAGAACAAAGGACGAGAGCAAAACCAAGUACUGCAUUGUAGAAGUAUAUUCAAAGGUCUGGUGUUGCAACACAUAAAUGAGAUUCUAGGUUAUAAAUGAGGAGACAAAGAAUGUCUUCUUGUGCCGCCAAAGAUGAGUAGUAAACAAGAAGCCUCCAUUGGAAAUGUGUGUGUUGCCCUUUGUGAAGUAACGGUGUUAAUUCUCAGCUGACGGAAGUACACACAUUGCAAGCAUCUUUAAACUAUAGGUACACAGUUUGCUAGAUAUGAAAGGAAGGGUACACAAAGUGCACAAGCCUCAAACUAGAGGUACACACUAUGCAAUUUACUCUUAUUAAUAUUUGUUUAGUUAUAUAUUUUGAGGAUUAGUUUUAGAUUGAAGUAGUUGGAUGUUUGUUGUAGAGGUACAAGAAUUAAUACAAAUCAAUUUUAUAUUCUACACUUGGCAUUGGAGCCAGGUUACGCCGCCAGGCGGUGGUGAAGCCGCCGCUAGUGGUGAAGGCACAUAGUGAGUGUUUGACGAGAUAGUUUCAGGUAGGCGUUGCAGAAGGAUUGUGGCAAAGCUGCAUGUGUAGUAUGGGAUGCAUGUAUAGUAUGAGGCUGCCAAGAAAGACGAGGCGAUGCCUACUGAAGGUGGAAAAUGAGAUAGAGUGGAAGAAGGUCAUGCAGAACGAGAUGGAUCUUGCGUUUUUUAUGACGGAGUUGAACGAGAACCUCUCCUUCAAAAUUAUGGGUGAUUAUGUGUACCUGGAGAGAAUUUUAGAAUUAUGGGUGAUUAUGUGUACCUGGAGAAAAGUGCUCCAGUGAAUUUGGCGUUGAUGAGAAGUGCAUCAACAAAUUGGUGUUGAUGAGAAGUGCAUUGACAAAUCGGUGGUGGUGAGAAGUGCAUCACAUAUAGAGGUGGCAAUCGUUUCGUUUCGUAUACUUCUGUUUCGUGUAUUUUCAUGUUUCGUGUACUCAAAGGUGAAACCCGUAUCCGCCCGUUAUCAAUUUCGUGUACCAAAUUUGAAACCCGUAUCCGAUCCGAAACGUUUCGUGUAUUUUUCAUGUAAUCAAAAAAUAGCUUUAAUAUAUAUUUUUCUAUAUAAUUUACUAAAUAUGAAUGAUAUAUUUAUGCUCGCAUACAAUUAUCUACAAAUUUGUUAAUGUAUCUAUAAUAUGUAUCUACAUAUACAUAUAAAUAUAUAUUUAUUUAACACAAUUAUAUAUAUAUAAUAUAUUAUACCAAAUAUAUAAUGAAAUCUAUGUAUAAAUAUUUCGUGUACUUUCGUGUAUUUCGUGUACCCAAAAUGAAACCAAUAUUUGACACGAAAUCUAUCGUGUAAUUUCGUGUUCGUAAACUUUCGUGUUUCGUGUAUCAAAAAUCAAAACUCAUAUCCAUUUUUUUCGUGUCGUUUCGUUUCGUGUUAGCGUGUUACGUGUCAAAUUGCCAGGCCUAAUCACAUAUGAAGAGAAGUGCUUCAUAAACUCUCUUAAGUAAAUUUAAGAUUAUGGGGUGAUUGUUGGAAUAAUAUUAGAGGGGUGUAUUGGAUUGAGAUUUUAAAGCCUUUUUUUGCAUUCAUAAAAUCCGAGGGUAUUGGAUUGGGAUUGUUUGAAAUCAAUUAAAAUCUUGAGGUAUUCAAUUGAGAUUUUAAAUUAUACUACAAAAUCCGGUGGUAUUCACUUGGGAAUUUAAAUUAUGAUUUAAAAUCCGAUGGUAUUCAAUUGGGAUUGUUUCAAAUCCAUUAAAAUCUGAUGGUUUUCAAAUGCUGAUGGAUUUUUUUGCAUUUCAUAAAAUGAUGGAUUUUGUGGCAUUCUUCGGUGUAUUUUUUUACAAUUGCGAUAUAGACUAAAAAAAAAAUAUAAUAGGAUGUUCAUAGUGCAACGAAUCUUGCCCGUGUUGCGCACACGGGCAAUUUUUAUUUUCUAUAUUUUAAUAAUUGAUUGCAAUGUCUUUUUAAUUGUAACGCGCUCAAUAACAAAUUCAUAGACGAAUACUGUACAAUAAGAUGUAUAGAGACAUUGAAUGUUAAUUUAUUAGAUCAAAGUAAAUAUAAGCUGUUUUAGAUGGUUGGAGCAAUAGUUUUCAAACUUGAGGCCAAGAAAGAAAGUAAAUACAAUGCAGAAAGAAAGUGUACGAUAAUCAUGAAAGAAAAUAAUUGAAAUAUAAUUAUAUUUAGAUUUUUCAGAAAAAGUAAAAUAAAAUUCCCGUGUGCGAAGCACGGGCAAAAUUUGCUAGUUCUUACAAAAAGAAGAGAGGGGGAAAUAAACCUAUAGCAGCCGUUGUCCGCCAUCAUCACCAUCACUAAAUAACUGCAAAUCUUUGUUCCAAUUCUCAUGCAAGAAAGAGCCAUCAGCGUCAUUUUCACACAAUCCAUCCUCCCAGUCCUUGUAAAGCAAAAAAGAACAAGGGAUUUACAUAUAAACCUCUGAAAAAGAGUUGAAGAAUGCGCACGCGCGCACACACAAAAGAGAUGCAGAUAUGUCUUUAUACCUGCAGCUGUUCUCUGAUUGAUGGAACAAAUCUGUACAAGUUAUUGUGUAUGGGUUUGGAUGACCCAGAAGGCUUAGAAUGGAAGACAGUGUCCACAUUCUUUAUAAGAUUUAUCAGCUCACUGGACGAUGUCAAUAUGCUUAAGACCUGCGUAAGAAAUACAAGAAACAUAUACAAAAAUAAAUAAACAGAAACUACAACCAAUUGAUGAUCUUGGGAUAAAUAUAUAUACGGAUUUUAAAAUACAAAUUCCCCACUAUUAUCAAAAUACUGCCGAGACCGAUACUCGGACACGUAACCAUGUUGAACACUUUUAGCCGAGUCCAUGUAAUAUAGAUUCCCCAUACGUAAGCUUACCAGAUGUAUCCCCAUGAGCAACCAUAAAUUAAAAGAAGCUCAAAGAAAAUAAUUAGCUUUUUGUUGUGGUUCAUUCAGAUGUAUCCAUCAAGCAUUUUCCAGGACCACUGAAGCAAUCUAUGCAAAACCAUGGUUGAACAUCACUAACUACACAAGUAGCCUUCCUCUUGUGUUCUGCUUAUCCAGGUAAAAAAGAAAAGACUACAUGUCUUUUUUUGCUAGCAUGUCUUAAAAUGUACUAUUAUAUAAUUUUCUUAGUUUUUUAAUAAUUUCACCCAUCUAUAAAAGUAUAAACAGAGGACAAGAACAUAUAUCACACCUUUUGUGCUUCUUUACACCUCAACAGAGAACCAAGCAGGGCCUUGAUUAUCGGUGGUUCCACUACGAUUCAGGCCAAGUUUCUCAUGAUAAAGUCAAGGAGCUUUGCUGCUUUGCAAGCCAUUCCAUCUCCUUAGCGGAGACCGGCCACUAUUGUCCGGGCAUGUGUGGGUGAACUUAAUUUGAAAUAUAAUCAUUUAUUUUGAGAACAAUUUCACAUUCACAUACUAUUAAAUAAUAUUAAGUGUUUAGAGGACAUUUAGCAGAAAAUACACAUUUACAUACUUUCUCUUCCAGAUAUAAGUAAUUUAUUUCAAAAUACAAAAUAAGUUAAACGCCCAAGAUGUUUGAAUCAGUGAAUUACGCAAAUAUUUAAGAAUGAGAAAUCAUGGAGUAUGUUAUAAUACUCAAGUGCUUGUUACAUUCAACAUUUUACGGGAAAAAAGUAAAUUAAAUAUUUGCAAGAGAAUUAAUAGCAAAAAACGGAGCAAAUGUGUUCCAAAUUUUAAUUUUAAUAAAGCAAGUAAUGCUAUUGUAUUAGUUCUGGAAACAAAACGUAAUUUUCUCAUGAUGCAGACGCAGCAAACCGAUGAUUCCAAGUGUCUGUUAGCAGAAGGGGAGAGUGAAGAAGAAUAGAGAGUAUGAAGUGAUUUGCUUUGCUAUGAGGAGGUUAUGCAGGAAGCGGAACCAAGAGCGGUGAUGUUUGCAGAAACACAAGAGAAAGACUUCAAAUGGCAUCUUGAAAAGGAAUGAGAGCUGGCAAUUGGAGCAAACACAGCAACGACAACAAAAGUAAUCAAGGAAGAUGAGUAGGAUAGGCUUGUGAAACUGAGCUCCUGAAUUUCUGUUCUGCUUAGGAUUUUCGACAUAAUAGAGUUAUGAAUAGUAAUUACAAAAUUGAAAAAGUUGAACCAUAAUAUCAAACACAGAAGGGAAAAAAAUGGUUUUAAUAUGAACACCAAUCGACUCAAUCAAUUUGAUUACUAAAUUGACUAAGUGCUGCUUUAAACGGGUGCCCAAGACAUUAGUGAUGAAAAAGAUUAAAGUCGAUAAUUAGUGAUGAAAAAGAUAUAAAGAGCUUGCUUGGCCAGUACUUAAAGUCCUGGACAUUAUAAUCAUGUGGUGUAAUCACAUGGUUUAAUGAAUUAUUGUUGAAUUUUGCAACCAAAGAAGCAUGAAAAUGAUGAAAGACUGUCUCAGAGUCAUAUACAGUGGCUCCAUUAUAGUUUAAUUAAUAUACUUUGGCAAAGGGCAAUACUGGACAGCAAUAGAGAAUAUAAAGUGAUCACUCCUCACUUUAUAUUCUAGGUCAAAUUUGUUAUACAAAUUUACACUUUACACUUUACACUUUGUUAUACAAAUUUGUCCACUAAUUUCACAAUGAUCGUAUCAGGAACGAGUUCAAGUAUAUCAGAAGUAUAUUCUAGGUCUAAGCAAAAAUCUUUUAACACAAGUUUGUUCAAUUAACAACAGUCAUAAGCUGUAAGAUCAAUAAUAGACUGGAUGCAAAUGCUAUUUAACAAAAACGUUACCAACAUCGCAUCGCAACAACAAAUAACACCGAUAAAAGACCGAAAACAAACACAAUCCACCAAAAUAUGACCAGCUUCGCAUCGCAAGGUCAUGGAAUUUGAACUUAAGAUUCUAUAUGUUAUGUUUUAAGUCUGAACUCAAGUUUUGCCUAUAUCAGAUCAUAUUCCAAACUCAACUAAUGUGGGAGACUUGUGUAAUGAGUGCAACUGACCUUUUGCAACAAACAAGCACAUCACUUCAAACUCUCCGACUAGCUUUUUCUUUUUAAAAUAAAAAGAAAACAGCAGCAAUUAUGAUCUCUCCAUUAAAGAUAACAAGUUCUGCAACUUUCAAAAUUAUUUGCUUUAUAUAGACUUGUUUGGUUUCCAAUGUGCUGAAGACACCAAUACAUUUGAGCCUUAUCAAAUUUAUUACUCCCUCAUCCCAUUUUUAACUGUACUUUAUAUAGACUUGUUUGGUUUCUGCUGAAAAAAAAGUUAAACGAAUUAAUAUGGCUGAAGCAAUUGUGUCGAUUGUUAUGGGAAGGCUCGCUGAUUUAUAGAUUGAAAAACCUCAAAUCCUUAACGAAGUGAGCGAUGAAAUUCAACUAGCUGUGACGGAGCUCAUGCGGAUAAAGACAUUCUUACCUGAUGCUGACUCAAGGAUUGAUGUAGAAAGAAUCCGCAUUUUGCUCGGGGAGGUACGAGAGCUUGCCUAUGAUGCUGAACAUGCUGUCGAAAGUUUUGUUAUUAAAGCCUCAUCCACUAAAAAACCAUUUCAGUGGAUGAACAGAGUCAGAUUUUCAAGAAAGAUGAAAGAUAUACAUAAAAAGAUGUCCCUCCUCUUCAAUUUAUUUUCCGAUUAUAAUAUCAGACCAACUUCAGAAUCAUCAACUUCCUCCAACAGGGAAGAUGGUGAAGAAGGACCCGACUUUCACAAAAUUUCUCAUGUCCGUAGACUCAUUAUUGAUGAUCAGGACUACAUUUGAAUGUUCUUGUAAGUUUGCAAGGUAUAAAGUUUUGUUUUGGUCGUGAAGAACAUAUUGCUUGAGAAAUUAUUUGAUCAUUUGCUUCUCAUUAACCUAAUUUUAUAUGAUUAAUUUAUUUUCCAUCAAAAUUAAUACUUUUACCGUUGAAAAUAAUUUAAUUAAGACUUUUAAUUUUCUUAUUUCAAUUAUUAUUUAAUAGCCCGGUAGCGUUGAUGAAAGUGAUACAAAUAUUGAGAUGAGUCAUUUUAUAAUUGUUUUACGGUAGAAUUCCACGAGCUAAUCGGUUGUUAAACUUGGCUUUUACAUGCUCAUCGUUUAGUAUACAAUGAAUCAAUAAUAGUCAUUUAUUUAGGAAUUAAACAAUAAAUUAAUAUUUAUAUACAUGAGUAUCUCCGACCAUAGGAAACUCUCAGUUAAAAAGUGAGAUGACAUAUAAAAAUAAAAAAAUAUAGUCAAUCUUUUGAAAAAUUCACACUCCAAACAUAGUAAUUCAUUUUCUAUAAUUUUAGUCAACCUCCUAAGUUGACUAAAUUUGUCGAACUUCUGCUCAUCAGUAAAAUAUCGGUAGGAAGAUUACACAUCAUUUGUUAUCAUAUUGAACUGAUAUAUUCUAUUUUAACAAUCUAAAAUAUUAAUAACAUAUUAUUUUUAGAUUAUAGCCAACCAAUAUAACCAAUACAAUUAGAACAUAGUGUCUCAGAGGUUCAACAAAUUUUACAUAUUGUCUUGCAAAUCUAAUUUAUCGAAUGAUCUUAGUUUGCUGAUUCCAUGCAGUUUAACUAUCAUUUUUUCUAUUGUAAACUCAACCGCGACCCAAAUUAUUUGUUGUGCUACUUAUGCAAACUCCGACUCUAUAACUAACAAUCCUGUGAUUCAUAUAAAAUAUAGUUUUAUAAAUUAAUAUAUUCUUUUUUUGGAAUAAAAAAGUUGAUAUUUAAAUAUUUUUAUAAAAAAAAAGUUAAAAUUAAAUUAUAAAGCUAUUUUAUAUGAGUCUUAAAAUAUGUGUGUAAAAAAGCCCGUAAAUAAAUCAGGGGACCGAGGGAAUACCAACUACAAUUACUCCAAGGGCCCCCUGGAUGCAGAGAGCAUCAGGGUUGCUCUUACCUAAUUAAUAUGCUUUGGCCAAGUAGAAUCGUAGUGAACAAUUAUAGAGAAUCUGAUGUGCAUGCAGAAGAAACAAGUAUAAGCUGCUUGAUUUCUUAUAAUACUGAUUAUUCAAUACGCAAGUAGAGUUAAUAGUUGUUGAUGAGGGUGAUGCAAAAAUUGAUGUACGUGGAGUACUUGUGGAUUGUGGUACAUACAGUUAGCACAGGUGAAACCAGAAAUCCUUCCGGAGUAUCCGUCUCCAAAUUUGGCACAAAUAAGAUAUGUUUUCUAAUUUCUAUUUUUUGCCUCAUCUAUUUAAGAUAAUCUUCACAUUACAUAUUUGCUUUUAUUUUUAAUAGUAAAAAUAUCUUAUACCAUUUUUAAAUAUAUUAUAUUUGUUCGCGCUAAAUUUUGUGUUCAAGUAUCUACUGUGAAGUUCAGAAAAUUUAUUCAGGUGGACUUAACUCAUGAUAAGCCCGAAUGUUCUCGAAUCCGUGAGUCCAUGAGUGAACCUAGUCCUGGGCUCAUUUCUCAAAAUCCCAACGAAGAAGUUUAUAAGCCAAGGGUGCCUUACCCACAAAGGCUCAUUCGCCCUAAACAAUCGGCCCAAAUUGAACAAAUUCUAGAGGUUUUCAAACAAGUCAAGAUAAACAUUCCUCUUUUAGAUGCCAUUCAACAAGUUCCUUCUUAUGCUAAGUGUCUAAAAAAUCUGUGUACCCAUAAGCGAACCACCCAUGUUCCUAAGAAAGCCUUCUUAACCUCGCAAGUAAGCUCGAUUCUCUCGAAUCAAAUUCCCGUGAAAUAUAAGGACCCCGGUUGUCCUACAAUUUCUUGUGUCAUAGGCAAUACUUGCGUGGAAAGGCUUUACUUGAUUUAGGAGCGAGUGUGAAUCUUCUUCCUUUCUCGGUCUACCAAGCCCUAGGUUUAGGGUAUCUCAAGACCACCAAUAUGACCCUUCAACUUGCCGAUCGUUCGAUUAAAAUGCCAAAGGGAAUUAUUGAGGACGUGUUGAUAAAAAUCGGUGAUUUUAUCUUUCCUGUUGACUUUGUUGUUCUCGAAACUCAACCCGUCUCGAAUCCUAAGAACCAAAUUCCUAUCAUUUUAGGACGACCUUUUCUUGCUACAUCCAAUGCCUUAAUCAAUUGUAGGAAUGGUUCAAUGAAGCUCACUUUCGGAAACAUGACCAUUGACUUAAACAUUUUCAAUGUAGGAAAAGAACCCAAUGAGCUUUAUGAGCAACCUAUAGGGGUCAAUGUGGUCAACAAGUUUGUCACAUGGUCUAGCUUUGAGGAUAGUGAGAUUGAGUCUCUUCUUGGUGAGGAUUUCAAAUUCAACAAUGAGAAUAAUAGGGAAUAUCACGAGUUUUUGAAAGAGUUGACCUCGGAGGAGUUGUUAGGAGAAUUGAACGAGAUUUGUUCAAAAUGGGAGACUCCACCCGAGAUUGUUAGUGUGAGCCCUAGGCGCGAUUUUGAGAGUCAUGUAGGUGAACCACCGACAUUUGACUCGUUGUUCCAUCAUUCGCUUAGUGCCUUAGGGAGAGACGAAAUCGUUUCGCACAUCAUUACUAGUGAUUUGUCCCUUAACCAAGAUUUCAUAGUCUCUAAUUUGCUUGAUGAUAAAGAAGCAUUAAGUUGGUUUCGGGAGAACAUUAGUGAUACUUGUCCUAUAGGGAUGAAUGAUUGUCACAUGCUAGAGAAAGUCUUUGUGCAUAAAAAUUUUCGAAAACAUUUUGACUCUUUCUCGAAGCUCCCUCCCAUCUUUCCUUCCGGAAUUGGCUGAUUCGCUUCCAUCUUCGAACCUUCCCCCGUGAGAUUCAGGUAUUGGGAAGGAAAUGUGUGGGUGAGUGGGUCGUGUAUGUGUUUCAAUAGUUAAUAAAAUCCCUUCAUCUCCUAUUCAGGUAUUUUCCCUCUUUACUCAUACAUUUCAAUUCUCUCUUUUGCAUACAUUGAGGACAAUGCAUGAUUUAGGUAUGGGGAGGGCUUUAGUGUAAUUCUUAAAAAAUGAAAACCCUAAAAAAUGAAAAAAAUUAGAAAAAUCCAAAAAUAGAGAUGUUUUAGCUAAGUUGUCUUUCCCUCACUUGAACUUUAGGAGUAGUUGGUGUUUAGCAUGUUUUCGAAAAGUAAAUAUAUAUGUAGUGUCUUUUAGAUAAUUUGAACGUAGUUGAGUAAGGUUGUCUUUUUGAAGAUUGUAUCGACCGAUUUGUACUUGUAAUUCCAAGAUGGCACACACAUUUGCACAAGACCUUUGAUGGAGAGAUUGUCCAGUGAUAUUAUUCGAUACCUGAGAGAGAACCCACAUGUUGAAACAAUGUCGAACCGAACCUUUGCGACUAAAAAAAUAGCAAAAAAAAAAAGAAAAAGAAAAAAAAGGAAUAAACUACUUCAAUACCCAUUGUUCUUUAUAGAUAAAAUCUUUAGAUAAAUGGGCAAAAGUAGAUUGACUAGUCUCGUUUUGUGGCCUUUGUUACUCGAGCAAUUAAGUCCGUAGGGGGAUUUCAAAACCUGGUGCCCUACGACCGUUUGGUUUGGGAGUCACUGGCCUAAAGCUCGCUACAUGGGUAACAUUGUUUUCCUAAGAAAACGGACUAAAUAAAGUCAAUGCAAAAAAAAAGAGAAAAAAAAACAAAAAAAAAGGGAAGGAAGAAUAAGAGUUUGUAAAGUUUGGCUAGAUAUUUGUUUCGAUAGAGAUUGGGUCAGUUCAAAAUUGGUUGAAAAAGAGAAAGUGUUCUUAGACAAUUAGGAUCCAUCAAAGGCCUUAAAUUACUUACACUCCUUGGAUUUCUAGAAAAUUUUUGUGUCGAUUCAAGUAGAUUUGAGGCAACUGGAUCUUGAUUAUUAGUAAAAGAGUCUUUGAGUCGUAUUUUCCUUAAAAACGCUUUUUGUUAACACCGGCGAAAUUAGAGUAGAGUCGAGUAGACACUUGCUAGAAUGUCUCGAAGAUUUUAUGGGUAUAUCUUCUGUAAACCCUUAGGAGACAAAACUCCUCUUGUAGAGAUCGUCUACGAGUUUAACGGGUUGGUGAACCUAAAAUCACCCGUCACGCCUACGAAAAGGAGCCUAGGACUUGCAUUUAGUUUUCUUAGUUUAUUUUCUUUUCUUUUGAUUUUUACUCGAGGACGAGCAAAAUUUAGGUAUGGGGAAGUUUGAUAAGUCGAUAUUUUUGCAUCAUUUAGAUACCUAUUUAUUGCUUGUUUUCGUAUUUUUAUUAGUUAAUUGUUUUGUUUUCAGGAAUUUUUAGAGAAAUCGAGAAUUCAAGAGAAAAGGAACAAAAAGGUGCAAGAAGGGAAAAAGAGGAAGAAAAAGAAGAAGAAGAAAAAGAAGAAGAAGAAAAAAAAGGAAAAGAAAAUCAAGACACAAGACUAAAUUUGUAAACACUUUUAUUAUAUCAAUACAAGUAUUCAUUUUUGUUCUUAAAUCUUGCUCUUUACUUUUACUUCUAGGCUAUGAAAUCUUUCUCUAACCACAUGAGACUCAAAAUUACUUGUGGAUUGAAGGGAGCCUAAUUAUAUGUUUUAAGCUUGCAAUUUUUUAGUAUUUAAAUUGAGCCCCUUUUAAUUCUCAAUAUUAUUAGUGGGUUCAAUGGUUUAGUAUUCUAGAUUUUGGUUUUAGCUUGUAGUUUGAUGGGGUUUUGUUAGAUACAUGGUAGAUAAGCUAGUUUUGAAGUUUUGUUUGAUUUGGAGUUAGUUUGGUAGGAUUUGGUAUUGUUCUUGUUCUUGGUUUUGGUAUUUUUUGGGGCUUUUGGGUGUAAAUUUUAGUUUGUGAUUUUGAAUUGAGGUUAGUGGGUUUAUGUUAGAAAUAUUUUGCUUAGGUUAGAUUUGAAAUUUGGUGUAGUUUAGAGUUGUUAUGAUUUGAUUUGAGUCUUAUUUUGGUAAAAAUGGGUAGUUUAGGGGCUUUUUAGUGUAGAAUUUGUUGUUGAAUUUGAUUUAAAGGUUAGUGGGCUUUGAUUUGUAAUAUUUGGAAUGGCUAGAUUUUCCGGUCAAAUAAAUUUUCCGGUGAGAUUUAAGCUAUUUCGGGCACCUCCAUGAUUCCGGCGGGUUACUCUUGACUUUUCCGUCGUCCGAUAAAUGUUUAGUUUCNAUGUUUUAGUUUCUGUUUGUUUUCUGGUCAGUACUGUUGCUUUACGUUUCGACCACGCGUCCAUUUCUUUUAUUAUUAUUAUUAUUAAUUUGUUUUCUGAUCUGUUGUGUUUGCUCGGUAGUCACGUGAUUAUAUUAUUAUUGUUUUCCUCCCGCGAACUGUACACACACAGUCACUAAUCCUUAUUGUAUUGUUUUAUCCGAUUAUUAGUUAAUUAUGUAAUUAAGUAUUUAGUUAACAGUAUUAAUUAGGUAGUAUAUUAUAAUAAUAAAAUCCUUCAAAAAUUAAUCGGUCUAAUUCGCCUAGGUUAAUAAUUAGAGGUCGCGAAAAGUUAAAUUUAAUCUCUGUAGACGAAUCUAAAAUAUUAAAACGGUGAUCGUGCGCUUGCGAUUUAAAGGUAUUAUUUAUAGCACAUCACAGAUGAGGGUGAGCUUGUUGAGGGUUUACUAGAAGGUUGUCACUUAGAUUUUUACAUUGACAUUGUUGUGGACAAGGAAAUAGAGCCGAUGAAGCAGAUGCAACCUCAUGUGAUCAUGACAUCAAAGACAAGUUUUUUUGAAGGUAAUUAUCAAAAGUUUUUGGAAUUAUUUUGGUGUGAGUCAUGGUAUCAUUAUUUGGUUUCCUUUCCCUCAAAUUACAUGUGUGUAAAUAAUACUCUUGUAGGUCUAGAUAAAGUGAGGACACAGUAUGUGACAAUACAAACACUUCAAAAGGAUCAAAAGAAUAAGAAAAAAGGAGCUCACGAGGACUUGAAUUUAGUUGGUGAUGAGAAGGUGCAAUCUGCACCAGAAAUUGAGGGAGAUGACAUCAACAAGAAGAAAACUACUAAAGCUGCUGACUUGGUUGUUAAUGAGGAGAAUGUGGAAUCUGCUGCACACAUUCAGGUUUGCGAAAGAAGCAAGAAAAAACUUACCAAAAAGGCGAGUUUAUUGAUAAAAUACAUCUCUUACAUAUAUUCUUGUAUAUUAUAUAUGAUCAUGCAACAACUAAUCAUGUGUAAUUUAUUUAGGAUAUUCUUGCUGAUUUUGAAGAAAAAAGAAGAAGAGAGUUGCUGAAAACAAUCAAAUGUUGGAACAACUGAGAAUAAAGAAAUUGAAAGCUGAUCUUGAAGGUCAAAAAACAAAGAAGAAAAAUGUAGAAGAAGUUAUUGGGAAUAUAUCAGACCUAGAAUUUGAUAGAGAGUAUGUGUCGGGACAGGACAGCCUCCCCACUAGUGAAGAGGAGCAUCCAGCGAAGGUGUGUAUAACUUAUUCAAGUAUUAAUUUAAGCUUUGCAAUUAAUAUUAUAGAAGUUUAAUAUAUGAUCUUGAAUUAAUUAGCGGGCCAAAAAAGCUCCAUCAGUGAAGGUUGCUACCAGACCACCGACAACUCGUUCUAAAACAGCACAAAAGGUUGCUGAUGACAAUAAACUUGUGCAUUUUUCCUGCAUUUUAAUUUUCUUUUUUUUGCGCAUUUUAAGUUCAUAUUUUCUGUAUUUUAUGUUCUAAAUUUCCCAAUUUAUUUCACGUUUUCUGCAUUUUAGGUUAAAUUCACAAUGUUUUGAGUUUAAAUACUUUAUAAACUUUUUUGCAAGGUUAAUGAUGAAGUGGCAGUACCACCUCCCCCCAGCUACCUAGUACUCUUCAAGAAUUCAAGCAGAUAAAGAGGGAAUACAAUAAUGAUAGAGUUAAGACCAUGGAGGCAUUUGUAAAGAUGAGACAAAGCUUCAAGGAAAUGGAACAAGAAGCAGCUAGCAAUGCAGAGGACAAUGAUGUUGGGGUAAAGAAGGAACCAACAGAUGGCAAGUUCCAACUGAAGGUAUGUUUUUGAUCCUUAACUUGGGGUAGAAAUUUCAAUUAUAUAUAUAUAUAUAUAUAUAUAUAUAUAUGACUAAUUAAUCCUAUAUAAAAAUGGUGUUUAAUUACUUUGAAAUACAUAUAUCCAGGUGAAACUAAAGUUACAACGACGCCUAGAGCUCCUGUUGCUUUAACAAGGCACGCUUCUUAAUUUGCCAUAAACUGAAACUAUUCUUCCUAGUAAAUUUGUCGACCUUCAUGUUAAUACCACCAGACAUCUUUCUGACCGUAACCUCGCACUGAUGCCAGUUUGUUUUAACGGAAGCAAGAAAGAUUAUAAUAAACGUCAAGGAAGAACACAAAUAGGCAGAAGAAAAAAGUUUUAUUGAUCUUGAGGAUACAGAUGCAGCAUACAUUUUUAGGUUAUGACCCAAAAAGUAUGACCUAAAGAGCUUAUAUUAUUACUCUUAGGCCGUUACAGAAAAGCCCAGAAAAAUAGGCCCAAACACUGAUUUAAGGCAUAUUUGACAACGAUAGUGUUGGACAGCAGAAAAUGAGAGGAAGUAAUAUUUGACCGACCAAUAUGUAAUAUGUUUUCAUGCGGCCAACACAACAGAGUACAUUGAAUCCCAAUACACCAAAACUAGGAUACUUCUAACUCUUGACUCCGCCCAUUGCUCAAACUUUUUGUUUGUGAUCUUUUUAUAAUGAACCACUUUUGGGUUUUAUUUUGUUUAUAGUUAAACUACAAUAUAUACAACAUUUAGGACAGGGAAAAUGCUUUCUUCAAGACACUGAAAACAAUGAGAAUAAGCAGUGAUAUCAUGAUCUUCUUUGAAGCAAGCAUCCGCAAGUUCACCUUCAUGCCAUGGUCUCUCAUGAGCUUCACUGUUACCCUAAUUAUUAACAUAAGCCAAGACACAACGGACAGGAACACCACUUUUAUUGUGUCUGCAGGUCCAUUCACACUUCUUGUGCCUCCCCACACCUCGACGUAGGACCAAGACUGACACUUGGACACGUAAUCAUGUUCGACACUUUUAGCCGAAUCCAGGUAAUAUGUUCCUCAUAUACAAAACACAACUUAAUUAGGACUUCAGCAGUCAUUUAUAAAGUUCUACGUACAAUAGACAGCAAUCUGAUGCUCCACCAUAACUAGUAUGCAUGUAAGAAAAACAAAAACAUUCUUGCUAAGACUAAUUACACUACCCUUUGCAUAUUCAUCAAUCAGUACAAACACAAACAAUAUUAAAUCAAGUGAAACAAUCAAAACAUCUGUAGGAUGCGUGGAACCAUGAUAGCGCAUAUAGGUAACACAACAGAUAUCCUAGUACACUAUAACAAACUGGGCUAUUUACGACGAACACUAAGCCUAAUAUCCGUCGUAAGUUCCCAAUUUAUGAUGGAAAAAUCUGUAGUUUUUGCUCAAGUAGUAAGUUCAAAAAGCCGUCACAAUUUUAACUAUUAAACCAAUCCAAGAAAAUAAUCAAUCCACAAUAACAUAGUUUUCAUUAACAAAACAUCUCAAAUACAUAUUCAUACACAAACAAAAGACUAAAACAUCCAAACACAUACUCAUACACAAACAUAUGAUUAAAACAUCCAAAAACAGCCCCACAAAUUCAAUUACAUUCACACAACUUAAUAUUAACCCUUAAUAACCGGACCUCCUCUAGAGACAACAAUCGGGAUGACUCAUGUCAUGGUCUUCGGAGUUCGAAAUCUCAUUACCACUUCUAGCAUUAUCAACGUCAUCUUCAUCCCCAGUGUCGAUAACCUUGCCCUACAAUAUACAUAAAAAAUAAUUCAGUAUAAAUUGAAUAGAAACUCAUUUCUAUAUUCUAGAUAGAAACAUUCACCGUAUGUUUAUUUUGUUUUCUUUAAUGUACGCCCCUGUCUAUAAUUCAGGGUAUGUUUAUUUUUCAUGUAUUUUCUCUAUGAUUACAAAUAGCCGACCUUACUUGUCUAUUUGUACAGGUGGAAUUAUAGUUUAUAGGCAAGUUUGUGUCCACAGCAUUUAUGAGAAAAAGAUUGCCCUGUUGCGGUUUUUAAGAAUUGCUUCUUGCAAAUGCCAAGAAAUAUUUAACCCUCUCAUUAUAUUCAUCCGUAAAUUCAUAGCCACCGGAAAUUAUUCGUCGAGUAAUCCAACUUCUAUCAUAAGACAUCUAUAUAUGCAUGAAUAAUAUCAAUUCAAUUUCAAUAUGCAUAUAGACAAAAAUACAUACAAACACAAAUAAAACACAUGUAAACAUUAAAUUAUUCAUAUUAAUGCACAUAUAAUUAAACUAUAGAAGAAUAAGCAAAGAUUUAUCGUAUACGUAUAUUGAUUCAAGUGUUAAUCUCCGUUGUUAUGUCAUAUCUUCUGUGAAAUCAGAAGGAGAAGUAUGGUGUUUUGAAAGAGAAGUGGAAAAUUAGAAGCAGGCAAUAGUGAUUAAUCAGACCAAAUUACAACGGAAAGAACUCAUUCCGUCGUAAGUUCAUUUAAAUAUAUUAUUCUACAAUGCACAAGUCAAAAGUUUCGGGUGACAUUAAAUACGGUAGCUGAAUUUACGACGGAAUGAACUCAUUCCGUCGUAAAUUCCAGCACUAAAAGACACCGUUUGAAACAAUGGAACAUUCUCGAUUACCUUUUAAUAAAAAAAAUAUUUAUAUACGUGAAUUUACGACAGAAGGAGUUGCCGUCGUAAAUUAAUACGACGAAAAAACACCUAUCCGUCGUAAGUUUAAGCACUCAGCGAAUCUGUCAUAAAUACCCCUGUUUGUUGUAGUGGUACAUGGAAACUAAUAAAUACUAAGUAGCUUGUCUUCUUAAUGUGAUAAUAUUGUUUACUAACCAAUACUGACACACAUUAUCUUUAGAGUAGAUGGUCCUUUUCUAUGAGUUAAAGCACUUUGCAUCUCUUUUGUUUGAACAUUACAAAUAUAUGUUCAUAGUAUUAAUCUUGUUUCCCCCUGACCUAAAUCGUUUCAGUGUAAAAUUAGCAGCUCUGUACUUUCUCAAUGGUAUCUAAAUUUAUUAAAGUAAUAUUUGAUUCGUCAAUUACUAAACAAUACAGAAAUAACAGUAUGAGAAGGGAACUAAUGUGAAAUGUGCAAAUUGCAACCUUACACUUCCACAACUGGAUGUCUGUACUAAUGCAAUAUCUUUAUCAAAUCUUAAAGUUUUCUGAUUAAGAUCCAAUGUGCACGUUGCAACCUUUCUCAUCCACAAAGACGUCUUUACUGAUGCAAUAUUUCUAUUAAAAACUCUAAAAGGGUGUUAUAUCCUUAAAUUUUAUACUCUUGACGAAAAAAAUAAAUAAAUAGUUUUCGGAAGAAACUAUUAAUUCCAUACAAUUACGAUCAUUAUACUUAUUAGUUUUAUUUAAGAUUUUGUUUAUCUUAAAGUCACAUCCAUAUUAAAAACACUCAAUUUCCUAAAAAUAAUAUUAGAUUAUGGAUAACAUAGCAACUACUUUUUAUGAUUAAAACACAUUGUCAUUUUCAUAUUCGUAAUCAAAAAAUCGAUUUUUUAAAAAUAACACAUGCAAUAUACAUAUAAAAAGAUAAUAUUAUUAUAUAUAAUUAUUAAUAUACAACCGAUGAUAUUUUUCAAUAAAAUGCAUUAAUGCUGUUUUUAAUUACUCCAUGUUAUCACUUCAAAAUAAUAUCAUAGAUCUAUACUAUCUAUUUAUACCAUACUAUGCUAUAUUAUUAUUAUUAUUAUUAUUAUUAUUAUUAUUAUUAUUAUUAUUAUUAUUAUUAUUAUUAUUAUUAUUAUUAUUAUUCUUUUAAAAUUGAAAAAGUAAUAAUUUUAUCGGUCGGUAGAGUUUUAUCAGCCGCUCGGUAUUAUUCUACAGGCCUCCUUGAUAUAUAACGUGUUCUAAUAAACUUUUUAUUAUCAAUUAAGUCAAAAAAUAUAAAAAUUCGGUUAGUAUGAUCGAUUUCUGUUUCAAUUAAAUUUAUGAUUUAAAUGAUAAAAUUAUAAAUAUCAUAAAUCAACCGUACAUGGAACGGGUUAUAAACUAGUAUUAAUUAUUAUGAUAGAAUAGUUAUUAUAUUUUAAUAUUGGUCCUGAGAGAUGAAAUUUUUUAUGAAUUUAGAAAAUUAAUCACUUUACAGAAUAUUAAUUUAUAGAAAUUUUACUAUAUUAGGUGUUGAUUUUCUUAAGUUAGAAUAUUAUUUAAUAAACAAGUAGGAUAAUUUAUAAGGAUUGUAUUGGAUUAGGUGCUGAAUUUCUUAUUUUGAUUAUUAUUUAAUAGGUAGGUAGCGUAAGUUGUCGUCGAUGAAAGUGACACAAAUAUUGAUAUGAGUCAUUUUAUAAUUGUUUAGUAAUAUACCGUAGAAUUCUGCCAGCUAAUCGGUUGUUAAACUUUGCUUUUACAUGCCCAUCGUUUAGUAUACAAUGAAUCAAUGAUUGUCAUUUAUUUAGGAAUUAUGUCAUUUAUUUAGGAAUUAAAUAAUGAAUAACUCACACUUGUUCGGUUUAAUCUCAAAUUAGGGUUUUGUGAGUCGACUCCCAAAACUGGCAGUCACUUCUCCAUUCUUCACCUUCAUCCUCUUCAUCCACCAAAUCCUUUUCGCUCUCCCAUGUUAUUCACUAUUUACCACUUUUUUUGUUUUUCAAUAAAAGCGAGUGUUGCUUAAACCUCGAAGAUUCCAAUCGGGUUUUAUUCUCGGAUCUGUUUCGGAUUUGAGCUUGGGCUUGAUUGUUUUCUGAAUAAAUCAGAUAUUUUGAAAUCAAAGGUCCGAUCGUGUUUUCCCAUCUCGCCUUUUGGCGUGUGUUGAUUUAGUACCCAAUUUUUGGGUGAUUCUGCGUUGUUAUACUUGUGGUUGUUAUGUUUUUCUGUGUUAUCAAUGAGAAUGAUUUGGAUGCAGUUUUGGGAGAUCUAACUUAUCGCAUCAUUAAUACUUUCGGCAUGUCUAUAGCUGGCUCCCGGCGGCAUGUAGAUAGCUGGGGUAUGCUUGGAACGGUGGCGAUAGCAUGUGCUCACCUUUCACAAAUUAUAGUUGUUCAUUAUUCGAGGACUCUUGUUACUCAUUGCUUAGUUUUUACAACUGAGUCGCUUGAACACCGUAACAGCGAUGGAACUAUUGUGAAGGCCAAUUGUAUUCAUUCUUAGUUUCAAUGUAUUCAGUGUGUUAAGCAGUCUGGAAACAAUGCGGCUAUUUGUGUAGCUCGUUUUAUUGUUUAUCAACCUGAUUGCAUUGUCUGUUGGAGAUUUGUCCCGACUAGACUUGUUUUAAUUUAUUGAAAUGAAUUUGCAUUUUGUCAAAAAUAAAUAAAUAAUGAAUAACUCCAUAUACAGGAGUAGGUUAAUAGUAGUAUUAGUCUGUUGAUUCCAUGCAGUUCAACUAUCGGGAGUGUUUGUUUACGAGAAGCUGGAGUUGCUUCUAACUGCUUCUUUUGACCCGUUUGUGUAAAAAAGUAGAAGCACUUUUGAGAAUGCUAUCUUCUCUCUCACAGCUUCUGUUUCUUUUCCAAACACUUUAUUAACUUAUUUAAUUCUCACUUCUACUCCAUUUCUUUACUAUAAGCAAGAAAUCACAAUUUUUAAGCUAACUCAAACAGGCCCAUCAUUUUCUCUGGUGUAAACUUGACCGGUCUAGCUCGAGUAUAGUCGACCCAAAUUAUUUAUUGUGCUAGCUAUGCUAACACCGACUCUAUAACUAACAAUCCCUGUGGCGGGACGUGACAUCGAUAAAAGUUAGUAAUUAAAUAUUUAUAUAAAAGAAAUUAAAAUUAAAUUAUAAAAAUAUUUUAUAUGAUCUUUAAAAUAUGUGUGUAAAAAAGACAGUAAAUAAAUCAAAGGAACCGAAGGAGUACUAACUACAACUACGGCUAGGGCCCCGGAUGAGACCAUCAGGGUUGCUCUUACCAUCAGGAAAGAAACAAAUUUAUAUGUUAAACAAAUUUAUAUGGCUGAAGCAAUUGUGUCGAUUGUUGUGGGAAGGCUCACUGAUUUGUUAAUUGAAAAACCUCUAAUCCUUCACGAAGUGAGAGAUGAAAUUGAAGUCGCGGUAGCUGGGCUCGUGCGGAUGAAAACAUUCUUACGAGAUGCUGAUUCAAGGAUGGAUGUAGAAAGAAUCCGGAUUCUGCUCCGGGACGUACGAGAGCUUGCCUAUGAUGCUGAACAUGCUGUCGAAAGUUUUGUUAUUAAAGCCUCAUCCACUAAAAAAUCAUUUCAGUGGAUGAACAGAGGCAAGUUUUGUUAUGAUGCUGAUGAUUCUUACCCACUUAUAUCUAUUUGUGGAAUGGGGGGUCUGGGAAAGACAACUCUAGCUCAAAAGAUAUACAAUCACUCCGCCAUCAAGACUCACUUUGCUGGUUUAGCAUGGGUAUCAAUCUCCCGAAAGUGGCAAACAGAUCGUGUGUUGCAGAGAAUUCUUAUAUGUCUCGUCCCUGAGAACAAAAACUCUAUCCUUAAUAUGGACAGUGACAAGCUAGUGGAGUAUAUGCUACAAAUCCAGGGAAGGAAAAAAUGUUUGAUAGUUCUCGAUGAUAUAUGGUCAACUGAUACUUGGGAUGCAUUAAAAGCUGCAUUUCCAGCCGGGAAGUCCAUGAGCAAAUUAAUGCUUACAAGUCGUAAUGCUGAGGUUGCUGAGCAUGUAAAUUUAGACGGAUUCAUUCACAAGCCAGAAUGUCUAAGUCCCGAACAAAGUUGGGAGCUACUCAAGUUGAAAGCACUUCACACAGGAAAUUGUCUAGGUACGUAAUUUUAGUUGGGUUAAUUAUGUUUCACAUAAUUUUUUCUUUACCAUAUGUUUUGUUUGACAACCUUAACGAACCAUAUAUUUUGUUACUUAAGUUUGAUAAGUUUGGUUAGAAAUCUUUCCAACAACCUUAAAGAACAUUGUUCUAUUCAAUAACGUUUUGUUCGUGUUCGUUUAAAAACCUGUGUAUUAUUAGACUUGUAAACGAAUCCUGUUUGUUGUGUGUUGCAGACAUUACCAGAGAUGUAAAGAGGAUGGAAGAACUGGGAAGGGAAAUGGUUGAACAUUGUGCCGGUCUUCCGCUAGCUAUAGUCGUCUUGGGUGGAAUUCUUGUAACAAAACCAUCGUUGAUAGAGUGGGAGAAGGUAUAUCGUGAUAGUAAAUCAUCCCUGAAGGCGGGGAAAGGACUGGGAGAAGCCUAUCAAAGGGAAAUAUUAAGUUUUUUAGUUUGGAGCUACAAUGAUUUACCCCCUCAGCUCAAGCCAUGCUUUUUAUAUUUAUCAAAGUUUGGUGAAGAUAAAUGGAUAAAAUUGGAGACUUUGUAUCAGCUAUGGAUCGCUGAAGGAAUGAUACUCUCGAGUGACAAGAGGGAAGGAGAAACAAUGAUACAAGUGGCUGAAUCAUACAUGGGAGAACUAGUCCACAGGAAUAUGGUUCAAGUGAGAUUUAACGAUGUAGAAUCAUCGCUUACAAAGUUUGAAUCUUGUUCUCUGCACGAUCUUAUGAGAGACAUGUCUUUAAUACAAGCAAAAGCAGAAGAUUUUUUUGAAGUAAUACAUUUCCAAAGUGGAAAUGAGUUUCAUCUCAAAUCUACUACAGAGUCAAGGUCAGCUUCCACUCGAGUUGUGAUUCGUUUGGAUGAGGAAUAUUCUAGCAAAGAAGCUAAUUACUACUUUACCAAGAAACGCAAUGAAGAAUGCUAUCGAUCAAUUUUACUCCUGGGUAAGUUUGGAGCAAGAAGUUUGCCACAGGCGCUGGGCUCACAUGUUGCCAAUUUUAGGUUCCUAAAAGUCUUUUCUGUGGAGCACUAUACCAAUUUUUCUGGAGCAUUUUCUCAUAUUAAUUUUGGAAGAGCAGUAGGGUCCCUUGUUUACUUGCGAUAUCUCAGUUUAAGGGACACUAAUUUGUUGAUUUUUCCAUCUCUACAAAAGUUGGUGCUAUUACAAACUCUAAAAUUGGAUACCGACAAGAUAUAUGUUUUACCAUGGCUGUCAAGAGAUGUUCUGGUGAAGAUGGAUUGUUUGCGGCAUCUGUAUUUGCCGAAAUUUAAAGUUGACGUUUUGGGAAGGAAAUCGAAAUUACGGUUUAAUGGGUUGAGCAAGUUAGAGACCCUGGAGAACUUUGACACUACUUGGUGUGAGGUUAAGGAUCUACGUGACCUAAUCAAUCUUCGGAAACUAACCCUAACAGUGAGAGGUAGCUUUGAUAUUCUGGAAGAAAUGAUGAAAAACUUGGAUGAUGUAGCCUCCUCACCAUCUUCAUGUCUGAGGUUCUUGGGUGUCACUAUUGUUUAUUGUCAUUUCGAGCUGAACAAUGGUCUUCCUAUCUUAAAACAAUUGGUAUAUGCCGAAAAUUUGAACCUUCGGGAAUUGAAAAUAUAUGGGCGUAUCCCAGAGGUGGGUCUAAUAUUCCGCUGCAUGUAUCCACAAUUUGUAUUACAACUUUAUAUUUAAGGAAAUCAUACCUGGAAGAAGACCCAAUGCCAAUAUUAGAAAUGCUUCCAGUGUUGAGUGUUCUCCAAAUGCGUGAGGAUACAUAUGUGGGGAAGGAGAUGGUGUGCUCCGCAACCGGUUUUCCUAAACUCACCCAUCUUAUUUUGUACAAGUUCACAAACCUUGAAAAAUGGAGGGUGGAGAAAGGAAGCAUGCCCAUCCUUUCACACUUGCGUAUUCAAAGAUGUAACAAGUUGGAGGAGCUUCCCGAAGGCCUUGUGUUCCUCAAGUCCCUUCAAAUAUAUCAAAUGCCUCAAGAUUUCAAUGAUAGGCUUAAAAGGCAAGAUGGUGAAGAAGGACCCGACUUUCACAAAAUUUCUCAUGUCCUUAGACUCAUUAUUGAUGGUCAGGACUACAUUUGAAUGUUCUUGUAAGUUUGCAAGGUAUAAAGUUUUGUUUUGGUCGUGAAGAACAUAUUGCUUGAGAACUUAUUUGAUCAUUUGCUUCUCAUUAACCUAAUUUUAUAUGAUUAAUAUAUUUUCCAUCAAAAUUAAUACUUUUACUGUUGAAAAUAAUUUAAUUAAUACGCAAAAAUUUUAAAAAAUAAAUUACAAAGUAUACUUUAUAGAAUAUUAAAGGGUUUGCCGAUUCACGUCCCCAACAUAUAUUAAUCAGGACGAUGGAGAGCGUAAUAAUUAAAUAAUUUCAAUAACCGGAUUUUGGACUAUAUAUUUUAGUUUUUGAAUGUUCGGUUAUUUUAUGAUGGUUAUUAAUAUGAGUAAAGAUUUGUAUAAAUUUAUAUUUAAAAAUUUAUGCAACAUGAAGUUAAAUAAAUUAUUUCAAUAAAUAAAUAUAGAUCAUCAUCAUAAUCAUCAUCAUUAUUACUUUUUAUAUUUUGGAACAAUUAUAAUAGUAGGAUUCUUAAACAAUUAUUUAAAAGUUAAACAUUUUAUGCUGAACUCUAAUCCUUUGAAAAAAAAAUAAAAAAUCACUACUUUUUUCAACGAAAAAAAUGUAUGCGUUGAAUUACAUUUGGUUGCAAACUUAAUCUUUUUUCUUAAAAAUUUUACAAAAAAAGUACAUCACUUUUUAGACUCUAAACAUAUGUCCAAAAAAAAACUCUAAACAUGUGUUUAGAGCUUUAUUCUAAACAGAUUAUUAGUUCCAUACAAUUACGAUCAUCGGACUAUUUUUCAGACUAUUAAUUCCAUACAGUUACGAUCAUGAGACUACUUAAAAGAACUACUUCUUUAGAAAAAGGCUCAAAGAACUACUCCUUUAGGAAAAGGCUCAGCAUCCUCAGGUUCAUGUUCACACCAUAUUCUCUUGUGAAUUACUAGGGGCACAAUUUUCAUCAUUUUCUUUGUCUUACAAGCCAUGCAAUCUAGUCAUUUAAAAUUGAUCACUUUAAAGACCAUCCUUGUGUCUCGUUCAUUUUCCUUGUGGUGAACAAGAGUUAAACAUAUUCGGAAGCGAUAAAUAUAAGUGUCUUAUUACAGAAUAUCGAUUUAUGAUAAUGUUAGGCUGCAGUAAAUGAGAGGAAAUAAUAUUUCACUGACCAAUAUGUAAUAUGUUUUCAUGCGAUUGCGGCCAACACAACAGAGCACAUUGUUUCCCACAUGUUGCCACAAAACACCAAAACUAGGAGACUUCUAACUCUUGACUCCACCCAUUGUUCAAACUUUUUCUUUGUGAUCUUCUCUUUUUUAUAAUAAAACACUUUUGGUUUUUCUUUUCUUUAUGGUUAAACUACAAUAUAUACAGCGUUUAGGAUGGGGAAACUGCUUUCUUCAAGAUGCUGAAGGCAACGAGCAUAAGCAGUGAUAUCAUGAUCUUCUUUGAAGCAAGUAUCCGCAAGUUCACCUUCAUGCCAUGGUCUCUCAUGAGCUUUAGUGUUGCCCUAAUCACUGACAUAAGCCAAGAUACAAUGGACAAGAACACCACUUUCAUUGUGUCUGCAGGUCCACUCACACUUCUUGUGCCUCCCGACACCUCAACGUAGGACCAAGCAGCGCCUUGAUUAUCGGUGGUUCCACUAUGAUUGAGGCCAAGUUUCUUGUUCAACCAACAUGAUAAAGUCACAAGCAGCUUUGCAAGCCAUGCAAUCUCAUCACUGGAGACUGGUCGCUUCAACCAGUCACCCCUGUAUUUCGUACCGGUUUGCUUCUUGUUGCGUAUCAUUCUAGGACUAAAUAUCUCAUCACGUGGAUGCUGAUUUUCUCUUGUCUCGGGGACUGCUUGUGUGUUCCUUGGAGUAGAGUUACCAAAUAAGCACCCCAUCUGGGCUUUGAUAGAAUCUAAACAAGCCAUAUUCUGAGCAUGAUUAUCUCCCAAGACAGUCUGCAGCUCCGACUCAGCACGCAACACAAAGAGCUGCAAUAACAAUGUGACUAGUGAGUGAGACUUGACAUUUAAAAUGACACCAUCCAUUUCAGUUCCUAGAAUUUAUAUGGUUCAUACAGAUAUAUUUAAGUACACUAUAUGCUAAAAGAAGAGAGGGGGAAAUAAACCUGUAGCAGCUGUUGUCUGCCAUCAUCACCAUCACUAAAUAACUGCAAAUCCUUGUUCCAAUUCUCGUGCAAGAAAGAGCCAUCAGCAUCAUUUUCACACAAUCCAUCCUCCCAGUCCUUGUAACGCAAAAAAGAACAAGGGAUUUACAUAUAAACAUCUGAAAAAGAGUUGAAGAAUGCGCUCGCGCACACAAAAGAGAUGCAGUUAGGUCUUCAUACCUGCAGUUGUUCUCUGAUUGAUGGAACAAAUCUGUACAAGUUGUUGUGUAUGGGUUUGGAUGACCCAGAAGGCUUAGAAUGGAAGACAGUGUCCACAUUGUUUAUAAGAUUCAUCAGCUCACUGGACGAUGUCAAUAUGCUUAAGACCUGCACAAGAAAUACAAGAAACAUAUACAAAAUAAGUAAACGGAAACUAUAACGAAUUGAUCCUGGGAUAAAAAUAUUUACUAAUUAUAAAAGAAAAUUUCCCCACUGUUACCCUGACUCUUCAUUUUGCCUCAAGUACCGGUGUCGGACACUCAACACUUGAACAUAGGUACAGACACUACAGAACUUAUUUUAGGCCAAAAACAUGUAAAUUUUUCAGAAUACUACCGAGACACACUCGGACAGGUAACCAUGUUGGACACUUUUAGCUGACUCCUGGUAAUAUAGAUUCUUCAUAUAUAAGCUUACCAGAAGUAUCCCAUCAGCGCCCAUAAAUGAAAAGAAGCCGAAAGAAACUAUAAAAGAGGAAUAUAGCAGAUUAUUAUUAAUUAGUAGCCUUGCAUCAGUUUCCUCUAUAAUUCAACACAAGUAGCUUUCUGUUGUCGUUCAUUCAGAUGUAUCCAUCGAGCAUUUGCCAGGACCGCUGAAGCAAUUUAGGCUUUUAUCUAUAGUCUAUGCAUGCAAAACUAUGGUUGAGCGUCACUAACUACAGACCAAUUUAAUUUAUUUUUUAUUUAUCCUCUUAUGUUCUGCUUAUCCACGUUAAAAAAAUAAAAAAUUGACUUGGUCAAAAAUAUACACAACACAACUAUAUAUGGAGAAACUUGUGAGCAAAUCCUAAAAAAUGCAUAACCAAGGAACUAUAGAACAAAUAGUUGAUCAACACAAAGCAUUGCCAGGAACUAGAAUAUCCACUUGAAGAAGACUGUACUUCCUUUUUAGUACCAUUGCUCGACACCUCAGCAUUUACAUCUAGACCAGAAAAAUCUUCAAAGCUAAUGUUCCAAGGUUCUAUAUAAUUAAUCCCAAGCCAAAACACCUGAGAUCUGGGAAGUACUGGACGCAAAUACGGGGAGUCCGGAAAAUGAGUAUUUGGCAUGGGAAUACCAAAAAUAUAAAAAAUAUUUAAAUUAUACUCCAUUUCACACUCUCAUUUCUUAGCACUCACACACAUUUUAAAAGUGCGUAUCCUUUAUUCUAUACAUGAAUCCACCACAGUAUGCAGUUAACCAAUAAAAAAAUAAAUGGAUCUGAAUAUGGAUUUGACUAAAUCCGAUACAAAAAAAAAAUGAUUUAAAAAGGUCAGAGUCAAAGCAGUGGACUGUAUUAGACAUAUGUGCAUCACAUAUAUACAGAUCUGGACCAGAGAAGAGAUAGCAAAACAAGCAGCAGAGUGAACUCAGACAAGAGAUAACAGUCUGAAAGCGAAGUCACCGUCUCCGCUAGUAGAGUUGGGUAUGUAUCUUUGUAAUAUAAGUUUUGUUUUUUGUUUUAAUGAAUUAUUGCAGAAGCAUGAUGACUUAUUGUUGAACUUUGCAACCAAAGAACCAUGAAAAUGAUUCAAGACUGUCUCAGAGUCAUAUAGAAUAGUUUAAUUAAUAUACAGCAAAGGGGAAUAGUGAUCAGCAAUAGAGAAUCUAAUGUGCUCAUGACACCAAUACAUUUUUACUACUUUAUUACUCUCUCGAUCCUAUUUUUAACUACUUGUUUGGUUCCUGGGAGAAGAAUAGGUUAAAUAAAUUUAUAUGGCUGAAGCAAUUGUGUCGAUUGUUGUGGGAAGGCUCGCUGAUUUGUUGGUUGAAAAACCCCAAACCCUCUAUGAAGUGAGAGAUGAAAUUCAACUAGCGGUCACCGAGCUCACGCGGAUAAAGACAUUCUUACCGGACGCUGAUUCAAGGAUGGAUGUAGAAAGAAUCCGGAUUUUGCUCCGGGAUGUAAGAGAGCUUGCCUAUGAUGCUGAACAUGUUGUCGAAACUUUUGUUAUUAAAGCCUCAUCCACUAAAAAACCAUUUCAGCGGAUGAACAGAGUCAAGUUUUCUAGAAAGAUGAAAAAUAUACAGAAAAAGAUGUCCCUCCUCUUCAAUUUAUUUUCUGAUUAUAAUAUCAUACCAACUUCUGAAUCAACUUCCUCAAAAAGAGAAUCGGGAAAACUUAAGCGAUUUCACUCUUUCACUACUCCUGAACCACAGAUAUUUGUUGGAUUUCAUGAAGAUGUUGAGUGUUUGGUGCGACAUUUGGUGAAUGAAGCUGAUGAUUCAUACCCACUUAUAUCUAUUUGUGGAAUGGGGGGUCUGGGAAAGACCACUCUAGCUCAAAAGAUAUACAAUCACUCUGCCAUCAAGACUCACUUUGCUGGUUUAGCAUGGGUAUCAAUUUCGCAAAAGUGGCAAACAGAUCGCGUGUUGCAGAGAAUUCUCAUAUGUCUCGUCCCUGAGAACAAAGAGUCUAUCCUUAAUAUGGACAGUGACAAGCUAGUCGAGUAUAUGUUAAAAAGCCAGGGAAAGAAAAAAUGUUUGAUAGUUCUCGAUGAUAUAUGGUCAACUGAUAUUUGGAGUGCAUUAAAAGUNNNNNNNNNNNNNNNNNNNNNNNNNNNNNNNNNNNNNNNNNNNNNNNNNNNNNNNNNNNNNNNNNNNNNNNNNNNNNNNNNNNNNNNNNNNNNNNNNNNNNNNNNNNNNNNNNNNNNNNNNNNNNNNNNNNNNNNNNGAUGGAAAAACUGGGAAGGGAAAUGGUUGAACAUUGUGCCGGUCUUCCGCUAGCUAUAGUCGUCUUGGGUGGAAUUCUUGUAACAAAACCAUCGUUGAUAGAGUGGGUGAAGGUAUAUCGUGAUAGUAAAUCAUCCCUGAAGGCGGGGAAAGGACUGGGAGAAGCCUAUCAAAGGGAAAUAUAAGUUUUUUAAUAUGGAGCUACAAUGAUUUACCGCCUCAGCUGAAGCCAUGCUUUCUAUAUUUAUCUAAGUUUAGUGAAGAUGAAUCGAUAGACAUAGAGACUUUGUAUCAGCUAUGGAUCGCAGAAGGAAUGAUACUCUCGAGUGACAAAAGGGAAGGAGAAACAAUGAUACAAGUGGCUGAAUCAUACAUGGGAGAACUAGUCCACAGGAAUAUGGUUCAAGUGAGAUUUAACGAUGUAGAAUCAUCGCUUACAAAGUUUGAAUAUUGUUCUCUGCACGAUCUUAUGAGAGACAUGUCUUUAAUACAAGCAAAAGCAGAAGAUUUUUUUGAAGAAAUACAUUUCCAAAGUGGAAAUGAGUUUCAUCUCAAAUCUACUACAGAGUCAAGGUCAGCUUCCACUCGAGUUGUGAUUCGUUUGGAUGAGGAAUAUUCUAGCAAAGAAGCUAAUUACUACUUUUCCAAGAAACGCAAUCAAAAAUGCUAUCGAUCAAUUUUACUCCUCUGUGAGUUUGGGGCGAGAAGUCUGCCACGGGCACUGGGGUUACAUUUUGCCAAUUUUAGGUUCCUAAAAGUCUUUUCUGUGGAGAAUUAUACCAAUUUUUCUGGUGCAUUUUCUCAUUUUAAUGUUGGAAGAGCAUUAGGGUCCCUUGUUUACUUGAGAUAUCUUAGUGUAAGGGGCAGUAAUUUGUUGGUUUUUCCAUCUCUACAAAAGUUGAUGCUAUUACAAACUCUCAAAUUUGAUACGAAGAAGAAGAUAUAUGUUUUACCAUGGAUGCCAAGAGAUGUUCUGGUCAAGCUGGAUUGUUUGCGGCAUCUGUAUUUGCCUAAAGUUCAAGUUAACCUUAUGGGAAGGGAAUCGAAAUUUCGAUUUAAUGGGUUGAGCAAGUUAGAGACACUGGAGAACUUUAACGCUAGUUGGUGUGAGGUUAAGGAUCUACGUGAACUAAUCAAUCUUCGGAAACUAACGCUAGCAGUGAUAGCUAGCUAUGAUAUUCUGGAGGAAAUGAUGAAAAACUUGGCUGAUAUAGCCUCAUCACCAUCUUCAUGUCUGAGGUACUUGGGUGUUACUAUUAGUCAUUGUCAUCUCGAGCUGAACAAUGGUCUUACGAUCUUAAAACAAUUGGUAUAUGCUGAAAAUUUGAACCUUCGGGAUUUGAAAAUAUAUGGCCCUAUCCCAGAGGUGGGUCUAAUAUUUCCGCUGCAUGUAUCUACAAUUCGUAUUACAAAAUUAACUUUAGCGAGAUCACACCUAGAAGAAGACCCAAUGCCAAUACUGGAAAUGCUUCCAAUGUUGGAUGUUCUCCAUAUGUGUACGGAUACCUAUGUGGGGAAGGAGAUGGUGUGCUCGGCAACCGGUUUUCCUAAACUCACCUAUCUUUUUUUGGACAGCUUCCCGAACCUUGAAAAAUGGAGGGUGGAGGAAGGAAGCAUGCCCAUCCUUUUAUACUUGUCUAUUGAAAGAUGUAACAAGUUGGAGGAGCUUCCACGAGGCCUGGUGUUCCUCAACUCCCUUCGAGUACUAAAAAUAUUUCAAAUGCCUCAAGAUUUCAAUGAUAGACUUAUAAGAGAAGAUGAAGAAGGACCCGACUUUCACAAAAUUUCUCACGUUCGUAGAGUCCGCAUCGACGAUCUGGUAUACGAUUUCUUAUAAGGGAUGUUCUUGUAGGUCGUAACGUUUUCUGUUAUAAUCCCAAAGAACAAAUUGCUUGAGUAGCAACUUAUCAAACAAUCUUAUAUAUACCUUUAUCUUCAAAAAAAAAAUCUUAAAUAUACCUUCAAAAUUUUAUAAUAUUUUAUUAAAAUUUUCAUUUUCAAUCAUAGUUUUGUAUGAUUAAUGUAGUUUUUAAUAUAAAAGAGUUAAAAAAUACUUUUACAUAUAACUGAAUCCAAUUUUCAAUAAUAGCGACUGUAAAAAAUAUACUAGCUUAUAACCCGUGCAAUGCACGGGCGGUUAUAAUAUGUGUUAUUAUAUUAUAUAUAUUUUAAAUUUAACUAAUUUUAUUUUGAAAAUUAAAUCAUGAUAUAAUAAUAUGAUUAAAUAAAUUUUUUAUUUAACAACUGAAUAAAUUGUUAGCAGUUAAGUCUUUCAAAUAGCUAAUUAAAAAUUAAGUCGAACAUAUAUAUUUUAAUGAAGAUGUUAAAAUAUAUAUUUUUAUAUGUUAUAAUUUAAUAAGACCUAUAAACCCAGAUAUAUAUCGACCAAUCAAUAUUUCGUUAUUAAUGAUUAAUAAUAUCGUAUAGAAUAUAUUAAUAAGUUAAAGAGACGCGUAAAUCCAAAUAUCGACCUAUCAUACUGACUAAUUUAUAAUAUGUUAUAAAUUAAAGAGGUUCGGGGUUGAAUACCAACCGGAUCGCCAAACUCGACCGACAAAUUGAACUUUUCUUAUUUCGACUAAUGUUUUACUUUUAAUAAUAUAGUAUAGAUAUAUAAUAAUAUUGUCUUUUUUAUAUGUAUGUUCCAUGUGUUAUAUAUGUUUAGAAAAAUCCGAUUUUAGUUAGGAAUGUGAAAAAGAUAAUGUCUUUUAGUUAAAAAGGGUAAUUGCUAUCUUGUCCAAUAUUAUUUUUAGAAAAUUGAGUUUUUUAAGUUAGAAAAUAUAAAAAAGAUAAUAGUAUUAGUUAAAAAAGAUGUUUGAUUAGAUAAAUAGGCUCAUAACUCAGCCCAAGUACCGACCGACCAAACUUUGAAUGUUUCGACUUCAAUAGUAUAGUAAUUUUGAAGUAUUAAUAUAAUUUUUAUAAGCCGCUGCAACGCGCGGCUUCUCAGCUAGUUAUUAUAAAUACAGGAUUCCUUAAACAACUUACAAUGGAAGAUGUAAUAGUUUUAUGAAAAUUAUUAUUAAUAUUAAAAUUAAAACACUAACUUUUAUUAUUUAAAAGUUAAACAACUGCAGGACUCUAAACCUUUAAAAUGUGAAUUAAAAAAAAGUUCACUUUUUUCAACAAAGAAGUUCUGUUGGUGUUGAAUCGAAUUUGAUUGCAAGUUGCCGGAAUUAAUUAAUAAUUACAAUCAUAUUUUCAUAAGACUUUUAAAAAGAUAGUAACUCCAAAAAAUUCUACAAAGAUGGUGUAUCCUUAAUUUUAUACUCUUGGGGCAAAACAAAGUUUUAUAUUCACAACAAGCUAUCAGUUCUAUACAAUUACAAUCAUCAUAUCUAUACUAUAUUAUUGAAACCGAAACAUUAAAAGUUUGGUCGGUCGGUAUUUGAGCCAAAAUACGAGUUUAUCAGUUAUUUUUUAACUAAAAUAUAUCUUCUUUUUAAUAUUUUCUAAAUAAAAAAACUCAAACUUUCAAAAUAACAUCGAGCAACAUAGUAAUUACCUUUUUAACUAAAACAAUUAUCAUUUUUAGAUUUUCUAACUAAAAAGCCGAGCUUCUAUUAUUAACACGGGCUACAUUAACAUUAUUUUAAAAUACUUUAACGGUCUCACUUUAAAAGUAAUAUUAUAAAUCUAUAUUAUACCAUUAAAGCCGAAACAUGAAAAGUUCGGUCGGUCAAUUGUUCGGCCGGUCACUCGAGUUUAGUGAGCCUGUUAGUAUUCGACCCAUAAACAUCUUUAAUUAAUAAAAUAUUAUAAUAUUAAAAACACUCAAUUUCCUAAAAAUAAUAUUAGAUUAUGAAUAACAUAGCAACUACUUUUUAUGAUUAAAACACAUUAUCAUUUUCAUAUUCGUAAUCAAAAAAUCGUUUUUUUAAAAAUAACACAUGCAAUAUACAUAUAAAAAGAUAAUAUUAUUAUAUAUAAUUAUUAAUAUACAACCGAUGAUAUUUUUCAAUAAAAUGCAUUAAUGCUGUUUUUAAUUACUCCAUGUUAUCAUUUCAAAAUAAUAUCAUAGAUCUAUACUAUCUAUUUAUACCCUACUAUGCUAUAUUAUUAUUAUUAUUAUUAUUAUUAUUAUUAUUAUUAUUAUUAUUAUUAUUAUUAUUAUUAUUAUUAUUAUUAUUAUUCUUUUAAAAUUGAAAAAUUAAUAAUUUUAUCGGUCGGUAGAGUUUUAUCAGCCGCUCGUAUUAUUCUACGGGCCUCCUUGAUAUAUAACGUGUUCUAAUAAACUUUUUAUUAUCAAUUAAGUCAAAAAAUAUAAAAAUUCGGUUAGUAUGAUCGAUUUCUGUUUCAAUUAAAUUUAUGAUUUAAACGAUAAAAUUAUAAAUAUUAUAAAUCAACCGUGCAUGGAACGGGUUAUAAACUAGUAUUAAUUAUUAUGAUAGAAUAGUUAUUAUAUUUUAAUAUUGGUCCUGAGAGAUGAAAUUUUUUAUGAAUUUAGAAAAUUAAUCACUUUACAGAAUAUUAAUUUAUAGAAAUUUUACUAUAUUAGGUGUUGAUUUUCUUAUGUUAGAAUAUUAUUUAAUAAACAAGUAGGAUAAUUUAUAAGGAUUGUAUUGGAUUAGGUGCUGAAUUUCUUAUUUUAAUUAUUAUUUAAUAGGUAGGUAGCGUUAUUUGUCGUGGAUGAAAGUGACACAAAUAUUGAUAUGAGUCAUUUUAUAAUUGUUUAGUAAUAUACCGUAGAAUUCCGCCAGCUAAUCGGUUGUUAAACUUUGCUUUUACAUGCCCAUCGUUUAGUAUACAAUGAAUCAAUGAUUGUCAUUUAUUUAGGAAUUAAAUAAUGAAUAACUCACACUUGUUCGGUUUAAUCUCAAAUUAGGGUUUUUCUCAAAAAAAAAAAAAAAAAUCUCAAAUUAGGGUUUUGAGAGUCGACUCCCAAAACUGGUAGUCACUUCUCCAUUCUUCACCUUCAUCCUCUUCAUCCACCAAAUCCUUUUCGCUCUCCCAUCUUAUUCACUAUUUAUCAGGUUUUUUGUUUUUCAAUAAAAGCGAGUGUUGCUUAUACCUCGAAGAUUCCAAUCGAGUUUUAUUCUCGGAUCUGUUUCGGAUUUGAGCUUGGGCUUGAUUGUUUUCUGAAUAAAUCAGAUCUUUUGAAAUCAAAGGUCCGAUCAUGUUUUCCCAUCUCGCCUUUUGGCGUGUGUUGAUUUAGUACCCAAUUUUUGGGUGAUUCUGCGUUGUUACACUUGUGGUUGUUAUGUUUUUCUGUGUUAUCAGUGAGAAUGAUUUGGAUGGAGUUUUGGGAGAUCUAACUUAUCGCAUCAUUAAUACUUUCGGCAUGUCUAUAGCUGGCUCCCGGCAUGUAGAUAGCUGGGGUAUGCUUGGAACGGUGGCGAUCGCAUGUGCUCACCUUUCACAAAUUAUAGUUGUUCAUUAUUCGAGGACUCUUGUUACUCAUUGCUUAGUUUUUACAACUGAGUCGCCUGAACACCGUAACAGCCAUGGAACUAUUGUGAAGGUCAAUUGUGAAGCUACCAUUUUCGCGAUUGAUGUAGGCUGGAUUACUCGAGCCUUUGUAUUCAUUUUUAGUUUCAAUGUAUCCAGUGUGUUAAGCAGUCUGGAAACAAUGCGGCUAUUUGUUUAGCUCGUUUUAUUGUUUAUCAACCUGAUUGCAUUGUCUGUUGGAGAUUUGUCCCGACUAGACUUGUUUUAAUUUAUUGAAAUGAAUUUGCAUUUUGUCAAAAAUAAAUAAAUAAUGAAUAACUCCAUAUACAGGAGUAGGUUAAUAGUAGUAUUAUUCUGUUGAUUCCAUGCAGUUCAACUAUCAGGAAUGUUUGUUUACGAGAAGCUGGGGUUUGCUUCUAACUGCUUCUUUUGACCCGUUUGUGUAAAAAAGUAGAAGCACUUUUGAGAAUGCUAUCUUCUCUCUCACAGCUUCUGUUUAUUUUCCAAACACUUUAUUAACUUAUUUAAUUCUCACUUCUACUCCAUUUCUUUACUAUAAGCAAGAAAUUACAAUUUUUAAGCUAACUCAAACAGGCCCAUCAUUUUCUCUGGUGUAAACUUGACCGGUCUAGCUCGAGUAUAGUCGACCCAAAUUAUUUAUUGUGCUAGCUAUGCUAACACCGACUCUAUAACUAACAAUCCCUGUGGCGGGACGUGACAUCGAUAAAAGUUAGUAAUUAAAUAUUUAUAUAAAAGAAAUUAAAAUUAUAUUAUAAAAAUAUUUUAUAUGAUCUUUAAAAUAUGUGUGUAAAAAAGACAGUAAAUAAAUCAAAGGAACGGAAGGAGUACUAACUACAACUACGGCUAGGGCCCCGGAUGAGACCAUCAGGGUUGCUCUUACCUAAUUAAUAUGCUUCGGCCAAGUGGAAUAGCAGUGAACAAUUAUAGAGAAUAUUCUGAGUGUGCAGAAGAAAGAAACAAGUAUAUGCUGCUUGACUUCUUAUAUUACUGAUUAUUUAAUACGCAAGUAGAGUUAAUAGUUGUUGAUAGAGAUGAUGCAAAAAUUGAUGUUUUGCUUAUGCUGAGUCAUUUCAUCAUUGUUUAUUAGUUAGUUGUAGAAUUAUGAGCUGAUCGGUUGUUAAGCUUUGUUUCUACAUGCUCUUAAUUUGCGAGCUUCAUGCAGUUCAAUUCCUUUAUAUAGGGUUGUUUGGUUUCUGGCAAAGAAUAACAAAUUAAUAUGGCUGAAGCAAUUGUGUCGAUUGUUGUGGGAAGGCUCACUGACUUGUUAAUUGAAAAAGCUCUAAUCCUUCAGGAAGUGAGAGAUGAAAUUGAAGUCGCGGUAGCUGGGCUCGUGCGGAUAAAAACAUUCUUACCAGAUGCUGAUUCAAGGAUGGAUGUAGAAAGAAUCCACAUUUUGCUCCGGGAUGUACGAGAUCUUGCCUAUGAAGCCGAACAUGCUGUUGAAAGUUUUGUUAUUAAAGCCUCAUCCACUAAAAAACCAUUUCAAUGGAUGAACAGAGGCAAGUUUUCAAGGAAGAUGAAAGAUAUACAAAAAAAGAUGUCUAUCUUCUUCGAUUUAUUUUCUGAUUAUAAUAUCAGACCAACUUCUGAAUCAUCAACUUCCUCCAACAGAGAAUCGGGAAAACUAAAGCGAUUUCACUCUUUCACUACUCCUGAACCACAGAUAUUUGUUGGAUUUCAUGAAGAUGUUGAGUGUUUGGUGCGACAUUUGGUGAAUGAAGCUGAUGAUUCAUACCCACUUAUAUCUAUUUGUGGAAUGGGGGGUCUGGGAAAGACCACUCUAGCUCAAAAGAUAUACAAUCACUCUGCCAUCAAGACUCACUUUGCAGCUGGUUUAGCAUGGGUAACAAUCUCGCGGAAGUGGCAAACAGAUCGUGUGUUGCAGAGAAUUCUCAUAUGUCUCGUCCCUGGGAACAAAGAUUCUAUCCUUAAUAUGGACACUGACAAGCUAGUGGAGUAUAUGCUACAAAUCCAGGGAAGGAAAAAAUGUUUGAUAGUUCUCGAUGAUAUAUGGUCAACUGAUGCUUGGGAUGCAUUAAAAGCUGCAUUUCCAGCCGGGAAGUCCAUGAGCAAAUUAAUGCUUACAAGUCGUAAUGCUGAGGUUGCUGAGCAUGUAAAUUUAGACGGAUUCAUUCACAAGCCAGAAUGUCUAAGUCCCGAACAAAGUUGGGAGCUACUCAGGUUGAAAGCACUUCACACAGGAAAUUGUCUAGGUACAUAAUUUUACUUGCGGUAAUCAUGGUUCAUAUACUUUUUUUAUACCAUAUAUUUUGUCCGACAACCUUAACGAACCAUAUUUUUGGUUAUCGGAGUUUGAUAAGUUUGGUUAGAGAUCUUUCCGACAUCCUUAAAGAACAUUGUUCUGUUCAAUAACGUUUUGUUCGUGUUCGUUUGAAUUCGUUAGUUCGUUUACAAACCUGUGUAUUAGAAUUGUAAACGGAUCUAACAGUUCAUUAAGUGCUCUCUUGAGGUUGAGUUAAAAAACUCGAGCUCGAAACACAUAUUUUGUUUAACAACCUUAACAAACUCUAGAAGGUUUAGUAAUUUUUCUCGUGUUGACUCGAAGUUUAUUGGAGUUAAGGUCAUAGAGGGCUCUAACUUGAACCUGUCUUUUAAACAUUUGCAUUACUUAAACGACUAAAUUAGAAAUUAUCUUGGCUUAUGAGUGUAUUCCUAUAUAUACACACACAUUUGAUUCCUGUUUCUUGUUUGUUGCAGACAUUACCAGAGAUGUAAAAAGGAUGGAAGAACUGGGAAGGGAAAUGGUUGAACAUUGUGCUGGUCUUCCGCUAGCUAUAGUCGUUUUGGGUGGAAUUCUUGUAACAAAACCGUCGUUGAGAGAGUGGGAGAAGGUAUAUCGUGAUAGUAAAUCAUCCCUGAAGGCAGGUAAAGGACUGGAUAAAGACUAUCAAAGGGAAAUAUUAAGUUUUUUAAUAUGGAGCUACAAUGAUUUACCGCCUCAGCUGAAGCCAUGCUUUCUAUAUUUAUCUAAGUUUAGUGAAGAUGAAUCGAUAGACAUAGAGACUUUGUAUCAGCUAUGGAUCGCAGAAGGAAUGAUACUCUCGAGUGACAAAAGAGAAGGAGAAACAAUGAUACAAGUGGCCGAAUCAUACAUGGGAGAACUGGUCCAAAGGAGUAUGGUUCAAGUGAGAUUUAACAAUGUGGAAUCAUCACUUACAAAGUUUGAAGAUUGUUCUCUGCACGACCUUAUGAGAGACAUGUCUUUAUUACAAGCCAAAGCAGAAGAUUUUUUUGAAGAAAUACAUUUCCAAAGUGGAAAUGAGUUUCAUCUCAAAUCUACUACAGAGUCAAGGUCAGCUUCCACUCGAGUUGUAAUUCAUUUGGGUGAGGAAUAUUCUAGCAAAAAAGCUAAUUACUACUUUUCCAAGAAACGCAAUGAAAAAUGCUAUCGAUCAAUUUUACUCCUCGGUGAGUUUGGAACAAGAAGUUUGCCAUGGGCGUUGGGUUCACAUGUUGCCAAUUUUAGGUUCCUAAAAGUCUUUUCUGUGGAGAACUAUACCAAUUUUUCUGGUGCAUUUUCUCAUAUUAAUUUUGGAAGAGCAGUAGGGUCCCUUGUUUACUUGCGAUAUCUCAGUUUAAGGGACACUAAUUUGUUGAUUUUUCCAUCUCUACAAAAGUUGGUGCUAUUACAAACUCUAAAAUUGGAUAUAUCCGACAAGAUAUAUGUUUUACCAUGGCUGUCAAGAGAUGUUCUGGUGAAGAUGGAUUGUUUGCGGCAUCUGUAUUUGCCGAAAUUUAAAGUUGACGUUUUGGGAAGGAAAUCGAAAUUACGGUUUAAUAGGUUGAGCAAGUUAGAGACCCUGGAGAACUUUGACACUAGUUGGUGUGAGGUUAAGGAUCUACGUGAACUAAUCAAUCUUCGGAAACUAACGGUAACAGUGAGGGGUAGCUAUGAUAUUCUGGAAGAAAUGAUGAAAAACUUGGAUGAUUUAGCCUCCUCAGCAUCUUCAUGUCUGAGGUGUCGCUAUUGUUUAUUGUGAUAUUGAGCUGAACAAUGAUCUUACGAUCUUAGAACAAUUGGUAUAUGCCGAAAAUUUGAACCUUCGGGAAUUGAAAAUAUAUGGGCGUAUCCCAGAGGUGGGUCUAAUAUUUCCGCUGCAUGUAUCCACAAUUUGUAUUACAACUUUAAAUUUAGGGGAAUCAUACCUGGAAGAAGACCCAAUGCCAAUAUUAGAAAUGCUUCCAGUGUUGCGUGUUCUCUAUAUGUUUGCUGAUACCUAUGUGGGGAAGGAGAUGGUGUGCUCCGCAACCGGUUUUCCUAAACUCACCCAUCUUAUUUUGCACGAGUUCACAAACCUUGAAAAAUGGAGGGUGGAGGAAGGAAGCAUGCCCAUCCUUUCCUACUUGAUUAUUGAAAGAUGUAACAAGUUGGAGGAGCUUCCCGAAGGCCUUGUGUUCCUCAAGUCCCUUAAAAUAACUCAAAUGCCUCAAGAUUUCAAUGAUAG